CCAAAUCUACCAUUUCCACCGCCAUUGCCAUACCCGCCACCAUAUCCAGGUCCAUAGCCUCCACCACUGUAACCACACCCAUAACCGCCAACGUGCCCAGAAUUGCCGUAUCCUCCAUCAUACCCACCAACAUUGUUUCCAUAACCUCCAUUGCCAUAACCUCCACCAUUGUUCCCGUAUCCACCGUUUCCAUAACCUUCACCACUAUUUACAUAUCCCCCACCGUUACCGUAUCCACCACCGCUUCCAUACCCUCCACCGUUUCCGUAUCCUCCAUCAUGAUUGUUUCCACCUCCCCAUUUCUCUUCCUUAGGCAGGCCCGACCCUCCUGCAGGUUUCACAUUCUUCUCCUUGGACUCUGCAUGAACAAAAUUCCUUAAUGAACAUUGCUUGAGGUAGGCAAGUAGUGAACAUUGCUUGAGGUAGACAGGUAGCCGUGCAUAUAUAGGAUGAAGUAUGAGUUGUGUAGUCUACUGUGUUAGUAAAUACGUAUAAGAGAGAACAUGUUUUACAAACCUUUAACAUCUGUAAGCUCUCUGGCAGCCGCUACAUCCUCGGAGAGAAGCAGGAGCGAGGCUAGUACGACACCAAGAAGAACUAGAGACUUGACCGCCAUUGGCGAUGAUCAGUUUGAUCCGGUUAUAAUAGCUAGUUUGGGAUGAGAUGAUAUCGCUGCUAGAAUUACCGUACUUAUAGAAGAGGCAAGACAUGUAUGCAUGCACGCCUAUGCCUACCUCCAAUUUUAAAAGUUUCAACCUUCGAUAACUCCAUGCACCGGUAUGGUUGGCUGUUAGCUAGGAUAUGAUCAAACCGGGACCGGGCUUUGGUAUAUCUCGUUGUCACAUUUGAUUAGCUACCCCGAGAGUGUAGAACCACUUGCUAACAAGAACGAUGUGUAAACUGCUACACAGCCGAAGCUUUGUGGACGAUUUUCAGACGAUCAACGCAUCAAGCCAUCCAUGGGUAGACCAAAAUUGAAUAACGCCGUUCGAUCCACCAAUCGUCCAAAGGUCGGCCGGCAACUGUCGUCCUUACCGCAAUUUCGUGCUAACAAAGUAGACAUUAUCCACUUUUGUGCACUACCCCCCCAUUUCAAAAUAGAUGACCCAACUUUGUACUUCAUCUAUUUUGGAAUGGAGGGAGUAUUAAUUAUUAUUAUCGGAUUCCUUGAUCGAUUAUAUCCUGGUUAUUAAUUUGACUCAUCAUGCUAACAUACAGUGUAAAGGCACCUACAUUGCGGACCCUUAAAACACUCGCAUAUGUCCGGACAUAACUGUCGGGACGCAGUGUGUCAUUAAACGUGGUAUCCUAUUAGUCUGUAGAUCAGUCAGGAUAUUGGAAAUUCUAAAAGCCAGAUGCAAACCAAGGGGCUUUGAAGACGUCCAAAUCGAUGGCACAUACGCGUCUGACACCCCAGGCCCGCCCAGAAACCGAGCCCGCGCCCGCUCACUCUCCCGUACGAACCAGUUGCUGCACAUUCAUGCCGGUCAGCACAACUCAGAAUGCCAGCUUCACAUUAAUGUCGGCUCGGAGCGGACACGACCUUUCACUGGAGCCGGCAUUGUAGCGGCAUGCGGGCCAAGAGGGACGCCCGGUCUCCGUGCAUGUUCUGAUAUAAAGAUGCGUGACGGGACAUGACUGGAGCGAUGCGGGAGAGCCUCUCGGCGGAGCAUUCAAACCGGCUCCCACCCGUCCGCCCACCGACAUUAAACAGGUGUGGUGACCGAGAAACCCACUCUGACACCCGCAUUUAUAUAGCCCACCGCUUGGCCUGGACGAUACCCCCUCCUCGCCCGGCACCACCGCACCACGCACAACACGUCCGCCAUGAUCGUGAGCUCUUGAGCGAUGUGGGAGAGCCUCUUGACAAAGUAGAAGUAGGAGUUGGCCGGCAUUGCGACCGACUGGAAGGUCCAUCGUGCGCGACAGACUGAGGCUGGCUUGCUGGUGAGCGCGCCGGAGGUCAGUGACGAGACGACGGAGGAGGCAUCCGACGACGAGCCGGUGCUGUCGUCCGUGCAGAUGCACUUUAACACCAUCAUGGUGGAAAAGCAGUCGGCUCCGUCUGUGUCGGCAUUCCGACAUGUGCAGGAGGACCAACGCUGCAACCUCUUGCUCCUUGACGAGCACCGGCUCAUGGAGGGGCAAAUCGUCGGCGAACAGGCAAAUGACGAUGUCGUCAUGGCCACGGUCACAAAAGAUUCGGGCUUCCUUGAUGAGCAGUGGGCGCUAUACCAGUCCAUGCGUGACUCUUGUGACGCCCGUUGUGAUCGAUGGUGGUUGUGUAUCCUGUGGGAAAAGAGAGAUACCCUAUUCUCGGAUAUCGGUGCCGAGGUAGACGAAGAGGAGGCGUAGACGACCAUGGAUAUCGCAAGCUCCGUGUGGGACGUGCCACCCAUGUGGUUCGCUUCCCAUCACAACGACCAUGAGCUUGGUCUGUCCACAACCGGCGUUGAAGACACGACGAACUCCGCCGACUAAGAGUAUGACAUGGGACGUUUGAACGCUUGGUGUCGCAUGUGGGUUGUGCCCUCACAUCUUAUUCUUCCCCUCUCACAGCUUCACUUCCCAGGGUUCACGGUCGCCGAGCUCGCCGAACUUGGGGAAGACAGGACAUGGGACACGGCCGCCACCAUGGCCGGCAAACAUUUAGACUACGUCAAAAAAAGUGUCACCCACUUUUGUUUAGUUGAAAUAUGUCAAAAAUGUUAUGAAUUCGAUUAUGUUUAAAUGAAAAUCGUCCGAUUUACAUGAAAUUUGCCCUAUUCGUUCCAAUUUCUUUUGAAAUGUGUCAGGACGUAUGAUGUCUAGGGUUUGGAUAGCCGGCUCUUGUUAUCCGUGGAUGCGUCCACAAACAAAUAUCAUGUCUGUUUUAAGAGUCGCCUUGGGGAUGUCCUUAUAUAAAAAUAUAUGCUUACACGUACACACUAAAGUGGCGCCCAUAGCUUUAACGUGAAAAUGCUUAUACUCUUUUCUUUUGGUACUCUAAUGAACUAAUUUAGUUAGCUAAUUAAUUCAUCUUUUUCAUAACUACAUAUUUUAACCUUUUCAUUAGUUCAAUGAAACUGAUCUCAAUAAUUUUUAAAAUUAGACGACUAUGCUCUCUUUAGGGUCUGUUGGAGUAUGAUGUCUGGCCCUCUCCCAUAGUUCGUACUUUUAAGUAACUUGGCUGGCGCAUCAGUUCAAUAUGGUAUCCGAGCCAAGAGGUCUUGGGUUCAAGACCCUGCCAAUGCAGUAUUAAAUAAAACGAUUCUGCGGCCUACAUCGAUUCAACGUCUGAGGACUAAACUAGCCUAGACGUGAGGGAGAGUGUUGAAAUAUAUUGCCCACCUCCCUCCAUCAGUUUGGACUUUUGGAUGAGUUGAACUCCUCGGAUGAGGACGAAGAGGACUAUAUGGCCCGUGUGCAGCUCGCGGCCGAGCGUGCCAGUGAGGACUACGUGUCAUCACUUCAGGUGGACCCAUAGCUCUCUGAUGAGAACCACGCUCUCCUCGAGUCAAUCAAGGACGAAUGGGAGGUCGAGGCCAAUCGCUAGGAGAUGGCACAAUGUCGUGUCGAGAAACAUAAGAUUUCACCGAGAUCGACAAGUUCGUCGACGAGCCGAAGGUCGUUGCCAUGGAUUCGGUCCACCGCCAAUGAUCACGAGGUGAGCCCUGAAGGAAAUAUGCCCUAGAGGCAAUAAUAAAGUUGUUAUUUUAUAUUUCCUUAUAUCAUGAUAAAUUUUUAUUAUUCAUGCUAGGUAUUAAUCGGAAACUUGAUACAUGUGUGAAUACAUAGACAAAACACCGUGUCCCUAGUAUGCCUCUACUUGACUAGCUCGUUGAUCAAAGAUGGUUAAGUUUCCUAGCCAUGGACAUGUGUUGUCAUUUGAUGAACGGGAUCACAUCAUUAGUGGAAUGAUGUGAUGGACAAGACCCAUCCGUUAGCUUAGCAUAAUGAUCAUUCAGUUUUAUUGCUACUGCUUUCUUCAUGUCAAAUAUAUAUUCGUCUGACUACGAGAUUAUGCAACUCCCGGACACUUGAGGAAUGCCUUGUUUGCUAUCAAACGUCACAACGCAACUGGAUGAUUAUAAAGAUGCUCUACAGGUAUCUUUGAAGGUGUUUGUUGGGUCGGCAUAGAUCGAGAUUAGGAUUUGUCACUCUGAGUAUCAGAGAGGUAUCUCUGGGUCCUCUCGGUAAUGCACAUCAUAUGAAGCCUUGCAAGCAAUGUGAUUAAUGAGUUAGUUAUGGGAAGAUGCAUUACAGAACGAGUAAAGAGACUUGCUGGUAACGAGAUUGAACUAGGUAUAAAGAUACCGACGAUCGAAUCUCGGGCAAGUAACAUACCGAUGACAAAGGGAAUAACAUAUGUUGACAUUGCGGUUCGACCGAUAAAGAUCUUCGUAGAAUAUGUGGGAACCAAUAUGAGCAUCCAAGUUCAACUAUUGGUUAUUGACCGGAGAGGUGUCUCGGUCAUGUCUACAUAGUUCUCAAACCCGUAGGGUCCGCACGCUUAAUGUUCAAUGAAGAUAUGUAUUAUAUGAGUUAUGUGUUUUGGUGACCGAAGGUUGUUCGGAGUCCCGGAUGAGAUCACGAACAUGACGAGGAGUCUAUAAAUGGUCGAGAGGUAAAUAUUGAUAUAUUGGAAGGUAGUAUUCGGAUACCAGAAGGGCUCCGGAGUGUAUCGGGUACAUACCGGAAUACCGGAGGGGUUACCGGAACCCAUCGGGGAAAGAUAUGGGCCAUAUGGGCCAUAGGAGGGAGGCUAACCAGCCCACAAGGGGCUGGUGCGCCCCCACAAGGGAGGAGGCCGAAUUGGACUAGGGAAGUGGGCGCCACCCCCCUUUCCUUCUCCUACUCCCUCUCCUUCCCCCUUUUCCCCUACGGUAGAAGGAAGAGGGAGGGGACGAAUCCAACUAGGAGUCCAAGUGGGACUCCUUCCUACUUGGGACGCAUCCUAGGCUGGCCUCCUCUCCCUCCCUCCUUUAUAUACAAGGGGGGCUAUGAGACACAAUAAUUGCUCUUAGCCGUGUGCGGCGCCCCCCUCCACAGUUUACGCCUCCGGUCAUAUUCUUGCGGUGCUUAGGCGAAGCCCUGCGCGGAUCACAUCACCAUCACCAUCACCAUGCCGUCGGGCUGACGGAACUCAUCUACUCCUUCAACCCUCUGCUGGAUCAAGAGCUUGAGGGACGUCAUCACGCUGAACGUGUGUAGAACUCGGAGGUGCCAUACAUUCGGUACUCGAUCGGUCGGAACAGGAAGAUGUUCGACUACGUCAACCGCGUUGAGCAAACGCUUCCGUUUUCGGUCUACGAGGGUACGUGGACACACUCUCCCCCUCUCGUUGCUAUGCAUCUCCUAGAUAGAUCUUGCGUGAGAGUAGGACUUUUUUUAAAAUUGCAUGCUACGUUUCCCAACAGUUGCAUCCGAGCCAGGUCUAUUCGUAGAUGAUAUGCACGAGUAGAACACAAAGAGUUGUGGGCGGUGAUCAUCAUACUGCUUACCACCAAUAUCUUAUUUUGAUUCCGCGGUAUUGUUGGAUGAAGCGGCCCAAACCAACCUUACAUGACCACGUUCAUGAGACCGGUUCCACCGACAUACAUGCAACUAGUUUUGCAUAAAGGUGGCUGACGGGUGUCUGUUUCUCCAACUUUAGUUGAAUCGAAUUUGACCGCGGCCGGUCCUUGUGAAGGUUAAAACAACAAACUUGAUAAAUAAACAUUGUGGUUUUUGUGCCGUAGGUAAGUAUGGUUCUUGCUAGAAGCCCGUAGCAGCCACGUAAAUCUUGCAACAACAAAGUAGAGUGCAUGGCAUGUUGUGAUGUGAUAUGGUCAAGACAUGAUGUGAUAUACGUUGUUGUAUGAGAUGAUCAUGUUUUGUAAAAGUUAUCGACAACUGGUAGGAGUCUUAUGGUUUUUGCUUUAAUGUAUGAAAUACAAACGCCAUGUAAUUGCUUUACUUUAUCACUAAGCGGUAGCGAUAGUCGUAGAAGCAAUAGUUGGCGAGACGACCACGACGCUACGACAGAGAUCAAGGUGUCAAGUCGGUGACGAUGGAGAUCAUGAUGUUGCUUUGAUGAUGGAGAUCAAAAGCACAAGAUGAUGAUGGCCAUAUAAUGUCACAUAUUUUGAUUGCAUGUGAUGUUUAUUUUUAUGCAUCUUAUUUUUCUUAGUAUGGUGGUAGCAUUAUAAGAUGAUCCGUACGAAAAUUUCAAGGUAUAAGUGUUCUCCCCGAGUAUGCACCGUUGCGAAAGUUCUUCGUGUUGAGACACCACAUGCCGACCGGGUGUGAUAAGGUCUACGUUCAAAUACAACGGGUGCAAGCCAGUUUUGCACAUGCGGAAUACUCGGGUUAAACUUGACGAGCCUAGCAUAUACAGAUAUGGCCUCGGAACACUAGAGACCGAAAGGUCGAACGUGAAUCAUAUAGUGGAUAUGAUCAACAUAGAGAUGUUUACUAUUGAUGACUACUCCAUCUCACGUGAUGAUCGGACAUGGUUUAGUUGAUUUGGAUCACGUAUCAUUUAGAUGACUUGAAGGAUGUCUAUCUAAGUGGGAGUUCUUAAGUAAUAUGAUUAACUGAACUUAAUUUAUCAUGAACUUAGUCCUGAUAGUAUUUGCAAAUUAUGUUGUAAAUCGAUAGCUCGCGUUGUAGCUUCCUUAUGUUUUUUGAUAUGUUCCUAGAGAAAAUUAAGUUGAAAGAUGAUAGUAGAAAUGAUGCGAAAUGGGUCCGUGAUCUGAGGUUUAUCCUCAUUGCUGCACAGAAGAAUUAUGUCCUUGAUGCACCGCUAGGUGACUGACCUACUGCAGGAGCAGAUGCAGACGUUAUGAACAUUUGGCUAGCUCAAUAUGAUGACUACUUGAUAGUUUAGUGCACAACACUUUAUGACUUAGAACCGGGACUUUAAAAACGUUUUGAACACCACGGAGCAUAUGAGAUGUUCCAAGAGCUGUAAUUGAUAUUUCAGACUCAUGCCCAUGCCGAGAGGUAUGAGACCUCUGACAAGUACUUCGCCGAAAAGAUAGAGGAGAAUAGCUCAGCUAGUGAGCAUGUGCUCAGAAUGUCUGGGUACUAUAAUCGCUUGAAUCAAGUGGGAGUUAAUAUUCCAGAUAAGAUGGUGAUUGACAGAGUUCUCUAGUCACCAUCACCAAGUUACUGGAACUUCGUGAUGAACUAUAAUAUGCAUGGGAUGACAAAAGUAAUUCCCGAGCUCUUCAUGAUACUGAAAUCGAUGAAGGUAGAAAUCAAGAAAAAAGCAUCAAGUUUUGAUGAUUAAACAAGACCACUAGUUUCAAGAAAAGGGCAAAGGGAAAGAAAGGGAACUUCAAGAAGAAUGGCAAGCAAGUUGUCACUCCCGUGAAGAAGCCCAAAGCUGGACCUAAGCCUGAAACUGAGUGCUUCUACUGCAAAGAAAAUGGUCACUGGAAGCAGAACUACCCCAAAUAUUUGGCGGAUAAGAAGGAUGGCAAAGUGAACAAAGGUAUAUUUGAUAUACAUGUUAUUGAUGUGUACCUUACUGUUGCUCGUAGUAACCCCUGGGUAUUUUAUACCAGUUCGCUUGCUAAGAUUAGUAACUCGAAACAGGAGUUGCAGGAUAAAUAGAGACUAGUUGAGGGUGAAGUGACGAUGUGUGUUGGAAGUGGUUCUAAGAUUGAUAUGAUCAUCAUCGCACACUCUCUAUACUUUCGGGAUUAGUGUUGAACCUAAAUAAAUGUUACUUGGUGUUUGCAUUGAGCAUGAAUAUGAUUAGAUCAUGUUUAUUGCAAUAGAGUUAUUCAUUUAAGAUAGAGAAUAAUUGUUAUUCUAUUUACAUGAAUAAAAUCUUCUAUGGUCAUACACCCAAUGUUAAUGGUUUAUUGAUUCUCGAUCGUAGUGAUACACAUAUUCAUAAUAUUGAUGCCAAAGAUGUAAAGUUGAUAAUGAUAGUGCAACAUACUUGUGGCACUUCCGUUUAGGUCAUAUCGAUGUAAAGCACAUGAAGAAACUCCAUGCAGAUGGACUUUUGGAAUCAUUUGAUUAUGAAUCAUUUGAUACUUGCGAACCGUGCCUCAUGGGCAAGAUGACUUAAACUCCAUUCUCCGGAACAAUGGAACGAGCAAUGAAUUAUUGGAAAUAAUAUAUACCGAUGUAUGCGGUCCGAUGAGUGUUGAAGCUCGUGGCAGGUAUUCUUAUUUUCAGACAUUCACAGAUGAUUUGAGCAGAUAUGGGUAUAUCUACUUAAUGAAACACAAGUCUGAAACAUUUGAAAAGUUCAAGAAUUUCAGAGUGAAGUGGAGAAUCAUCGUAACAAGAAAAAUAAAGUUUCUAUGAUCUGAUCGUGGAGGUGAAUAUUUGAGUUACGAGUUUGGCCUUCAUUUAAAACAAUGUGGAAUAGUUUCACAGAUCACGCCACCUGGAACACCACAGUGUAAUGGUGUGUCCGAACGUCGUAACCGCACUUUAUUAGAUAUGGUGCGAUCUAUGAUGUCCCUUAUCGAUUUACCACUGUUGUUUUGGGGUUAUGCAUUAGAGACAGCUGCAUUCACGUUAAACAGGGCACCGUCAAAAUCCAUUGAGACGACACCGUGAACUGUGGUUUGGCAAUAAUCCUAAGCUGUUGUUUUUAAAGUUUGGGGAUGUGAUGCUUAUGUCAAAAGGCUCCAACCUGAUAAGCUCGAACCCAAAUUGGAGAAGUGCGUCUUUAUAGGAUACCCUAAGGAAACAAUUUGGUACACCUUCUACCAUAGAUUCGAAGGCAAUAUUUUUGUUGCCAAGAAUGGAACCUUUCUAGAGAAGGAGUUUCUCCCGAAAGAAGUGAGUGGGAGGAAAGUAGAACUUGAUGAGGUAAUUGUAACUUCUCUCAAUUUGGAAAGUAGCUCAUCCGAGAAAUCUGUUCCGGUGAUGUCUACACCAACUGGAGAGGAAGCUAAUGAUAAUGAUCAUUAAACUUCAGCUCAAGUUGCUACAGAACCUCGUAGGUCAACCAAAGCACGAUCCACACUGUUCUGUAAGUCAUGUUACUUGACCAUGAUGAACCUACAAACUAUGAAGAAACUAUGAUGAGCCCAGUUUCUGACAGAUGGCUUGAGGCCAUGAAAUCUGAGAUAGGAUCCAUGUGUGAGAACAAAGUGUGGACUUUGGUGGACUUGCUCGAUGAUCGGCAAGCCAUUGAGCAUAAAUGGAUCUUCAAGAGGAAGACGAACGCUAAUGGUAGUGUUACUAUCUACAAAGCUCGACUAGUCGCAAAAAGGUUUUCAACAAGUUCAAGGUGUUGACUACAAUGAGAUUUUAUCAACCGUAGCAAUGCUUAAGUCUAUCCGAAUCAUGUUAGCAAUUGCCAUAUUUUAUGAAAUCUGGCAAAUGGAUGUCAAAACUGCAUUCCUUAAAUGGAUAUCUCUAAGGAGAGUUGUAUAUGAUGCAACCAGAAGGAUUUGUCGAUCCUAAAGGUGCUAACAAGGUGCGCAAGCUCUAGCGAUCCAUCUAUGGACUGAUGCAAGCAUCUCAAAGUUGGAAUAUACACUUUGAUGAGUUGAUCGAAGCAUAUAGUUUAUACAUACUUGUGGUGAAGCCUGUAUUUACAAGAAAGUGAGUGGGAUCACUACAACCUUUCUGAUAAGGAUAUGUGAAUGACAUAUUGUUGAUCGGAAAUGACGUAGAAUUUUCUGGAAAGCAUAAAGGAGAGUUUGAAAGGAGUUUUUCAAAGAAAGACCUCGGUGAAGCUACUUACAUAUUGGGCAUCAAGAUCUAUAGAGAUAGAUAAGACGCUUUAUAAGAUUUUUCAAUGAGUACAUACCUUGAUAAGAUUUUGAAAGAGUUCAAAAUAGAUCAGUCAAAGAAGGAGUUCUUGCCUGUAUUACAAGGUGUAAAGUUGAGUAAGACUCAAAACCCGACCACGGCAGAAGAUAGAAAGAGAAUGAAAGUCAUUUCCUAUGCCUCAGUCAUAGGUUCUAUAAAGUAUGCCAUGCUAUGUACCAGACCAGUUGUGUGCCUUGCUAUGAGUUUGGCAAAAGGGUACGAUAGUGAUCCGGGAGUGGAUCACUGGAUAGCGGUCAAAGUUAUCCUUAGUUACCUAAGAGGACUAAGGAAGUAUUUCUCGGUUAUGGAGGUGAUAAAGAGUUCGUCGUAAAGAGGUACAUCGAUGCAAGUUUACACGGAUCCAGAUGAUUCUGUGUCUCAAUGUGGAUACAUAUUGAAAGUGGGAGCAAUUAGCUAGAGUAGCUCCAUGUAGAGCAUUGUAGAAUAGAAAAUUUGCAAAAUACAUACGGCUCUGAAUCUGGCAGACCCGUUGUCUAAACUUCUCUCACAAGAAAAACAUGAUCACACCAUAGUACUCUUUGGGUGUUAAUCACAUAGCGAUGUGAACUAGAUUAUUGACUCCAGUAGACCAUUUGGUUGUUGUCAUAUGGCGAUGUGAACUAUGAAUGUUAAUCACAUACAGAUGUGAGCUAUUGGUGUUAAAUCACAUGGCGAUGUAAACUAGAUUAUUGACUUUAGUACAAGUGGGAUACUAAAGGAAAUAUGCCUAGAGGCAAUAAUAAAGUUGUUAUUUUAUAUUUCCUUAUAUCAUGGUAAAAGUUUAUUAUUCAUACUAGAAUUUUAUUAAUGGAAACUUGAUACAUGUGUGAAUACAUAGACAAAACACCAUGUCCCUAGUAUGCCUCUACUUGGCUUGCUCGUUGAUCAAAGAUGGUUAAGUCUCCUAGCCAUGGACAUGUGUUUUCAUUUGAUGAAUAGUAUCACAUCAUUAGUGGAAUGAUGUGAUGGACAAGACCCAUCCGUUUUCUUAGCAUAAUGACCGUUCAGUUUUAUUGCAACUGCUUUCUUCAUGUCAAAUAUAUAUUCCUCCGACUAUGACAUUAUGCAACUCCCGGACACCAGAGGAAUGCCUUAUGUGCUAUCAAACGUCACAACGUAACUGGGUGAUUAUAAAGAUGCUCUACAGGUAUCUCCGAAGGUGUUUGUUGUGUUGGCAUAGAUCGAGAUUAGGAUUUGUCACUCCGAGUAUCGGAGAGGUAUCUCUGGGCCCUCUCGGUAAUGAACUUCAUAUGAGGCCUUGCAAGCAAUGUGACUAAUGUGUUAGUUAUGGGAUGAUGCAUUACGGAACGAGUAAACAGACUUGCCGGUAACGAGAUUGAACUAGGUAUAAAGAUACCGACGAUCGAAUCUCGGGCAAGUAACAUACCGAUGACAAAGGGAAUAACGUAUGUUGACAUUGCGGUUCGACCGAUAAAGAUCUUCAUAGAAUAUGUGGGAACCAAUAUGAGCAUCCAGGUUCCGCUAUUGGUUAUUGACCGAAGAGGUGUCUCGGUCAUGUCUACAUAGUUCUCGAACCCGUAGGGUCCGCAUGCUUAACGUUCGAUGGCGAUAUGUAUUAUAUGAGUUAUGUGUUUUGGUGAUCGAAGGUUGUCCGGAGUCCCGGAUGAGAUCAUGGACAUGAUGAUGAGUCUCGAAAUGGUCGAGAGGUAAAGAUUGAUAUGUUGGAAGGUAGUAUUCAGACACCAGAAGGGCUCCGGAGUGUAUCGAGUACACACCGGAGUACCGGAGGGGUUACCGGAACCCACCGGGGAAAGAUAUGGGCCAUAGGAGGGAGGCUAACCAUCCCACAAGGGAGGAUGCCGAAUUGGACUAGGGAAGGGGGCGCCACCCCUCUUUCCUUCUCCUACUCCCUCUCCUUCCCCCUUUUCCCCUCCGGUAGAAGGAAGGGGGGGGGGGAAUCCAACUAGGAGUCCAAGUGGGACUCCUUCCCACUUGGGGCGCGCCCUAGGCCGGCCUCCUCUCCCUCCCUCCUUUAUAUAUGGGGGGGGCAUGUAACACCCACGAUGCGGCUAUAUCUCCCACGUGUCGGGGCACGACUUAGAGGCAUAACCGCAUUGUGGUUUUGUCACUAGAAGGGUCAUCUUCACACAAUCCCAUGUAAUGAAUAAGAAAGGGAUAAAUAGAGUUGGCUUAGAAUCGCCACUUCACACAAAGAUCAUAUAAUUCAUACAUCAAUCAGAGUACACACAUAGUCCAACUACGUACAAAUCCAAAUGAAAAGAACACAAACCCAAAUGCUAGAUCCCUGAUCGUCCCAACUGGGCUCCACUACUGAUCAUGAGGAAAAUACACGUAGUAACGGCCAAGGACCUCGUCGAACUCCCACUUGAGUUCAGUAGCAUCACCUGCACUGGUAUCAUCGGCACCUGCAAUUAUUUGUAGUAUCUUGUGAGUCAGAGGACUCAACAAUCUCAAAAUGGGCGAGAUCAAGACUAUUUAAGCUUAUGGGUAGGAUGUGGUAAUAAGGUGGAGUUGCAGCAAUUGAUAAGCAAAAUAUGGUGGCAAAAGGCGAGUACAAGAGUAAGAAGAGAAACUACACAACGGUCGUCAUCUAGAAGUGAUCAAGAAGUGAUCCUGAAGACUACUUAUGUUCAAACAUAACCCAAAAUCGUGUUCACUUCCCGGACUCCCCGAGAAGAGACCAUCACGGCUGCACACGCGGUUGAUGCAUUUUAAUUAAGUCAAGUGUCAAGUUCUCAACAAUCGGAUAUUAACAAAUUCCCAUCUGCCACAUAACUGCGGGCACGACUCUCGAAAGUUUAUACCCUGCAGAGGUGUCCCAACUUAGCCCAUCACAAGCUCUCACGAUCAACAAAGGAUAUUCCUUCUCCCGGAAAGACCCGAUCAGUGUCGGAAUCCCGGUUACAAGACAUUUCGACAAUGGUAAAACAAGACCAGCAAGUCCGCCCGAAUGUGCCGACAAAUCCCGAUAGGAGCUGCACAUAUCUCGUUUUCAGGGCACACUAGAUAGGUCAAGCUACGAGUAAAACCAGCCCUCAAGUUUCCCCAAGGUGGCCCCACAGGUUGCCAGGUUCGGGCCAACACUUAGAGGAGCACUGGCCCCAGGGGGUUAAAAAUAAAGAUGGCCCUUGGGUCUGCAGAACCCAAGGGAAAGGUAUAGGUGGUAGGUAGGCAAAUGUUAAAACCAAGGUUGGGCCUUGCUGGAGGAGUUUUAUUCAAAGCGAACUGUCAAGGGGUUCCCAUAAACCCAACCGCGUGAGGAACACAAAAUCAAGGAACAUAACACCGGUAUGACGGAAACUAGGGCGGCAAGAGUGGAGCAAAACACCAGGCAUAAGGCCAAGCCUUCCACCCUUUACCAAGUAUAUAGAUGCAUUAAUUAAAAUAAGAGAUAUUGUGAUAUCCCAACAUAAUCAUGUUCCAACAUGGAGCAAUCUUCAACUUCACCUGCAACUACCAACACUAUAAGAGGGGCUGAGAAAAAUCGGUAUCUUAGCCAAACAACGGUUUGCUAGGAAGGUGGGUUAGAGGCUUGACAUGGCAAUAUGGGAGGCAUGGUAAACAAGUGAUAGGUAGCGCAGCAUAGCGAUAGAACGAAGCAACUAGCAAGCAAAGAUAGAAGUGAUAUCGGGUAAUGGUCAUCUUGCCUGAGAUCCCGCAAGGAAGAGGAACAAGUCCAUGAAGUAGUCGAACUACGUAGUCGAACGAAUCCUCACAACUCCGGAAUGAAACCAAAGCUAACGUGAGAAGCAAACCGAAAAGAAGCAAACAACAUGAUAAACAACCAUCACAUAAACAUGGCACGAUGCACAACCAAGUAUGAUGCAUGUCCGGUUUAAAGAGGCAUGGCAUGGCAAAGUGCAACAAACAAUACUACACGUUAAGUCGAACUCAAUAUGCAAUGGGUUGCAUAUUGACGAAACACCACAUGCAAGUAUUUAGUUCACUCUCGUUUAGGUACACCUCAAUAUUAAAUGUUGUUAAACAUGGGAAGAGGUGAAACAUAAGUAAACUAACUAUUUAGGCAAGUUUAAAUGAGGUCGGAAACAACAAACAACAAUUCCAAAAAAUCCUCAUGUCCAUAUUUUGAAUUAGCUACUGUUCUGCCCUAAACCGUAUUUUAGAGUUGUUAAACAUGCAAAGUAAUGCCACCAUGUUAAACUAUGCUUUUUCCCACCCCGUUUACAUAUAAAGUUUAUUAAAAUUGGGGCUACGAUUAUUUAGUUAUGAAAUAAAUCAUUUUAACAUGGCAUUUAAGAAAAUUUAAACAAACAACAUUUUAAACAUUUCAAACAUGGAUGAAAAUAGCAUAUUAUGAAACUAGAUGCAAUUCUAAGCAUUUUCCAUGGUUAAACCAUUUUAAUCCGACGCACGGUUGAUGAGUUAUUAAAAGCAUGAACAACGAGUUUUUUUUGUAAAUAUGCAAUUUUUUGGAUAAUUAGACAAUCGCUCUGCGAAAAAAACAUGAAUCGGGCCGAAUCUGGAUGGCCCAACCUGAGGAGAAAAAAAUCAGAGGGGCGCCUCACCCAUGGGAUUCGGCCCAUUUGUUGAGAGGCUUGGCAGGCCGGCGGAUCUGGCGAAGAGGAGCUGGGCCUUGGCGCAAUCGAACUAGGAGGUGGAGUGGGCGCGGUUAACGCUCGAGGCAGAGGAGGGGUCAACGUGCGACAAUGCGUUUCCUCGUUCGAUGCAGGGGAAGCAGGGUGAUGCAAGGAACUUGGCGCGGCAGGGCUUGAAUGGAGACGAUGGCGCGGAUCCGGCGGGCACGGGCCGGAGCUAGCCGGAUCCAGCAGCGGGGCGAUGAAUGGGCGGCGGUCAUGGUCGUUCCCUGUAUGCGAGAGAGAGAGAUGUGUGAGAGAGGGAAGCAUAGGAAGGACGGGAGUGACAGGGGAGGAGAGGAGUGGGACGAGGCCGGUCCUUGCCAUGGUCGCCUGCGGCGAGGUCGCCGGAGGGCGCGGGGGAAGGCGACUACUUGGUGGCCAACAGGGUGCUCGAGCAGGACGAGUAGGCGAGCUCCUGCUCGUUGCAGAGGAAGCAGGUGGCGACGCUGGUUGGGGACGAGGAGUGUCGGUGUCAAAACUGGCGGAUCUCGGAUAGGGGGUGUCGGUGUCAAAACCGGCGGAUCUCGGGUAGGGGGUCCCGAACUGUGCGUCUAGGCGGAUGGUAACAGGAGACAAGGGACACGAUGUUUUACCCAGGUUCGGGCCCUCUUGAUGGAGGUAAAACCCUACGUCCUGCUCGAUUAAUAUUGAUGAUGUGUGUUACAAGAGUGGAUCUACCAUGAGAUCAAGGAGGCUAAACCCUAGAAGCUAGCCUAUGGUAUGAUUGUUGUUCGUCCUAUGGACUAAAGCCAUCCGGUUUAUAUAGACACCGGAGAGGGCUAGGGUUACAUAGAGUCGGUUACAAUGGUAGGAGAUCUACAUAUCCAUAUCGCCAAGCUUGCCUUCCACGCCAAGGAAAGUCCCAUCCGGACACGGGAUGAAGUCUUCAAUCUUGUAUCUUCAUAGUCUUGGAGUCCGGCCGAUCACGAUAGUUCGGCUAUCCGGACACCCCCUAGUCCGGAACUCCCUCAAUAGCCCCUGAACCAGGCUUCAAUGACGAUGAGUCCGGCGCGCAUGUUGUCUUCGGCAUUGCAAGGCGGGUUCUUCCUCCGAAUAAUUUAUAGAAGAUUGUGAACACCAGGAUAGUGUCCGGCUCUGCAAAAAUAAAUUCCACGUACCACCGUAGAGAGAAUAAUAUUACACAAGUUCAAUCUGCUGACGUAUUUUGUGGCGUGACAUCACACCAUUACCAAGCCUGUACUCGAAUCGUCUUUAUUGUAUCACCUCAGCGCAUUUAGCGAAGCGGUUUCCUUGGCACGUCUUGUCGAAGCAGAGAUCGUGUUCCCCUUAUUCCGGGAUUCCCAUCAAUACGGACGUGGGUAACCCAACUGCGCCAUUGAUUGUGACGCCUGGGAGAUAAGCGAGUUUUACCAGGUCGGUGGGGACACAUGUUUUUGUCCACCCAUAUAAGGGGAUAAAGAUCCAACCCUUUUACCUGCGCCUUCUUCCUCCUUGGCUUAUCCAUCUCCGCGAACUCGAGCUCCAGCGCCCAAGUCCGCUCUUCUCACCUCAAGCUUCUCCAACUAUGUCCGGAGCGGGAGGCAAGUGGAUGGCCUCCUCCGUCACGGAGGGGCAGAUCCAGAAGCUGCGCGACGCCGGAUAUUUGUCCAGCGACAUCGCGCACCGGCUCCCCGACGAGGGAGAGCUCAUUCCCACCCCCAGGCCCCAUGAGAGGGUAGUAUUUCUUCCCCAUUUCCUCCGCGGACUGGGCUUCCCACUUCAUCCCUUUGUCCAGGGGCUCAUGUUCUACUACGGCCUAGAUUUCCAUGAUCUGGUCCCGAAUUUUAUCCUCAACAUCUCGGUGUUUAUCGUCGUGUGCGAGGCCUUCCUCUACAUCCAGCCCCACUUCGGCUUGUGGCUCAAGACCUUCAGUGUCAAGCCAAAGGUUGUGAAGGGCAGCCAAGCGGAGUGCAGAGGCGCCAUGGUGGGCAGGAUGUCCCACGUUAUUUGGCUGGAGGGCACUUUCGUGGAAACCAUUAAGGGGUGGCAAUCAGGGUGGUUCUACAUCGCCGAGCCGCGUGACCCUGAUUGGGCAGCGGUCCCCGAAUUCAGAUCUGGCAUCCCUACACGGCUCACCUCCUGGAAAGAGAGUGGCCGGAUCUGGGGUGAUUCGGAGGAGCUGACCGGACUCCAAGCCUGCAUCCAAAAGCUGUUGGACAAGAAGCUCAAGCUUGUUAACGUAGUCCAGGUCAUGCUCAUCCACCGGAUUCUCCCGUGCCAACGACGGGGCUUCAACAUGUGGGAGUUCGAUCCAGCGCAGCACCAGACUCUGAGCGGGCUCUUCGACACUACGUACGAAGAUGUCUGGAAGGUGCUGUUCAAGGGCGCCGAGGCUCCCACAUCCGCUACCGAAGAUCGCGGAUUCCGCUCGCAGCGUCCAGCUGACGAGGUAAGUGAUUUUUCCACUUGUUUUCCAUAGUUUGACUCUAUGCGGGAUCUAAACUCCCUUUACCUUUGACAGGACUGGCUAGCGAAGGCCGAAUGGACUAUCUUUCCGGCCCCAUUGCCAGAGGACCCAGCGGACGCCCGCUUAAUGGGGCUGCUGGCUCCGGCACCCCAUGUGGUGCCGGAGAAGAAGGCCACGGGGACUCGGAAGAGUUCCCAUUUUCAGGUGCUAUCGUAUGAUGAAUCCGAGGCCGGCUCCUCCCACCAAGGCGAGGAGGAGAAGAAGAAAGCCUCUCCCCCAGCGGGGGGGGGGGGGGAAGAAAAGGAAGGCCUCCCCAACAAGGGAGGCUGAAGGGUCCAAGAAGGGAAAAACUCUUCCCCCGGACUGCUCUGCCAACGCCAGUGACGACGACGAGGACUGGCCUCCAAGGGCCAAGCCCCUGGCGAGAUCGUAAGUAUCCGGAAUCCCGAAUAACUUCAAGGAAGGCGAGUCCGCCCAAGGAUGAUCUUCCCGCUUCGUCGAGUGGGUCCUUAGGUGCGUCGGAUAUGGAUUCUCUUCCGACUGCCUCCAUCCCCGUGCCACGGACGAUGCCGAGGUGGGAUCCAAGGAAGGGACCCACCAGGAGGAGGAGGCCUCGGAGGUGUCACAGGACAACCUCCCGGACUUUGCACCGGACUCGGCCCCGGAACCCACAGUGGCUCCGGAGUCCGGCGAGCGACCCCUUCGCAAGAAGGGCAAGACCGUGACGUCGGCUGCCUCCGUCCAACCGGAGGCGCCGGAUAAUUUGCUGGAGGCGCUCAACGGCACCUCCAUUGAAGAGGAACACCGCACUGUUAUGAGUGCGGUGAUUCAAAAGGUUCAGCUCGCCAAAAGUGGGCUGACCGAAGCCUGCAGCAGCCUUCUAACAGGCUUUGAGGUAAGAAUAUCAAUAUGUAUAAAAUGGUACCGCAUAGACAGUAGCCCCUGAUGCUCGGUUUGGUGUUCGGAAAGAAAAGCCGGACUGAGGACCUAAAAAGAUAUACGCAGGAGUCAUAAUAAAUAUGUCAAUAUGGGAUUGCAGGCUGCGCUGCUGACCUCUGCCGCACUGACUGUGAAGGUCAAUACGUUGAAGGAAAGCCUCGAGCGGUCCGAGAACGAGCUCGGCCGUGCCAAGAAGCAGCUCGAGGACGAGGAAGGCGAGUAACACCUUACUAAAAUUGUACCUUACAGAAAAGGAUUUUGGUUGCAAAAAGAAUGACAAGGAUAACGUGGGUAUUGCAGGGGCCACUAACGAGGUGGCGACCCUGAAAGAGGCGGUGGCCGCGGCCGAACGCAAUGCGGCCGCGGAGCGCACCGAGCAAGAGAAGCAGGAGGCGCGGGUGGCGGAGGUACAACAAGAGCUCCAUGAUCUCGUGAAAAAACAUGAGAGCCUGGAGCGUGACUCGAAGACUCAAGAGUCUGAGCUUGCAACGGCUCUUGAGAGUGCCAAAGCCGCUAAGGCCGAAGCCUACAAGGCCCUCCAGGAGAUUGAGGCGGUGAAGAAAAUAGCAGCGCGUAAGGCAUUUUUCAUGCAAAGUAAGCAUGUGAGUGUUAAUUACCUGUUGCUUACCCGAAUUCGGAGCUCUCCAGGAGCGUUUGCAAAUCUUCCUUGCAGCGUGUCCGAUGCUGCCACGUUCUACCGGGCCGAGGAGGGGAGCUCGAUGGAGAAGGUCUUCUGGUCUCAGUAUGCUGAGGCCGGACAUCCGGUGCCCCUUAGCGACCAGCUGAAGCAGCUGGUCGAGCUCCACAAGGCGGCCGAACAGGCCAUGAAGGGCCUCAUAGUUCGGCUGUGGCCUAAGGAGGCCAUGCCUGGGAGCUACUUCGGCCUGGUGCGGCGUUUGGUGGAUGCGUGCUCGUGGGUUGAAGUCAUCAAGCACUCCGCUUGUAUUGAAGGUUCCCGUCGGGCCCUUGCCCACGCAAAGGUGCACUGGGGCAAGAUGGAUGCCCAGAAACUUGUGACGGACCCGCCACCAGAGGGCAAGGAGCAUCGCACGCCCGAGAUGUAUUAUAAGAGUGUGCUGAAGGGCGCCCGCACUAUUGCGGGUGAGUGCUCCAAAGAUGUAAUAUUUGAGUAGACUCGCAUUUUGUUAUCCUGUGCGCUGAAAACUUAGUUCAUAUGCGCUAAGCAACGCUUGUUAAUUUAAAAUAUUACCUUCUGUGUGGCUGUUUAUCAAAUCUGAGAGAUGGCAAGUCGUCGGCUUCAGCCCCCAUGCGACGAGUGCUGGGGUGUUCGGGAUAAACUUGAGCACUCUUGUUCCCAUUUUUGGGUCCAUCUAGGGAGGCGCUCAACACAGUGAACAAGGCAACUGGACUUAUAAUGCUUGAACACUCUCACUUAGCCAUAGAAUUCUAUAAUUUUAAAUUUCGGCGAAGCCCCUAGUCUUCGGAAGGCCGAAUUUGGGGCGCUAUCCACGCCUGGGCCGGACAAGAUCCGGCUCCUCGCUCUAAGCGGCAUAAGUCUUUAAGGACUCGCAAAAAACCUCUCGAACAGCGACCGGCUCUCGCCUGAUCAUGAGGGUCAGUUUUAGCUUUCUCCACUGAGGCGUUAACCCAGCUCAACUGGGCCGCAAUCGCAGUGGUUCUCCCAGUGCUACCUUAGCCGAUACAACGGAAUGUAAGGUACCAAAACAUGGGAGCCGGAUAGACCCAACUAUUGACCCAAGACAUGAUUCGAAGCCGAUGCAUAUAAUGCUAUAAGUUCGGGGUGCCGCACUUGUGAAAGUGUUCGGACUUAUCACACGAUGAUGCGGGAAACAUAAGCCCCUGGUGUGUUUUAACCGUACCAAAGUGUACGGAUGCGACAUGUCGUAAAUGAACAUAUGUAUAAAAAAGAAAUGCAAUUAUAAGCAAAAAGGUGCUGCAUUGUUUUAUUCAAGAAGUGCUGCUAUGAAUGCAGAACGAUACAAAUAGUGCGAUAAGCAAGGGACGGGACUGUUAAACAUGUCCCCCUCCAGGGGUAGGCUGCGGAGUGGUGUAUAAAAAAUGCUCGUAAUGGAGACCACCUGUAUAUUCGUUGUAGCCUUUAUCCUUCCCUGGCUGUUGCAUCGUGAGUUCGGCAGGUCUGCUGCCGGUCAGGGCCUCUGACGAACGGAGUCCUAUGGGUAAAAAAUAAAAGGAAGAAAGAAAAAAAAGAACGACACACUUGAGAGCCCCUGGUGUGGUUGAGACGCAGUCUGGGCUUAUCGUGGUCGUGCCCCUCUCCCCAUGCCCAUGGUAUCUUCAGGGCGUAAUGGUGUACGCGAAGGACCUAUUUUGAUGUUUUACAGGGGCUGGGGUUGGGGCCGCACUGCUACGCGUGCUCGUAUCGUGCCAGGUGGUCUUGUUGUAGGUUACUCCAGGCGCGCUUAGCUGUGUCCGGCCGCUUAACGGCCGGACUCGAGAAUUACCUUAAGAGGCUGCAUUGUACUUCUGCCGCGAGAGCCGCUGUAUGUUCCUCCGUUCGGAGAGAACGUUCAGUGUUUCCGUUGACCGUGAUGACUCCUCGAGGGCCUGGCAUCUUGAGCUUGAGGUAUGCAUAGUGCGGCACCGCAUUGAACUUUGCAAACGCGGUACGUCCGAGCAUGGCGUGAUAGCCGCUGCGAAACGGAACUAUGUCGAAGAUUAACUCCUAGCUCCGGAAGUUAUCCGGGGAUCCGAAGACCACUUCCAGUGUAACUGAGCCUGUACAAUUGGCUUAUACACCUGGUAUGACGCCUUUAAAGGUCGUCUUGGUAGGUUUAAUCCUUGAGGGGUCUAUGCCCAUUUUGCGCACUGUAUCCUGAUAAAGCAGGUUCAGGCUGCUGCCGCCGUCCAUCAGGACUCUGGUGAGGUGAAAUCCAUCGACGAUUGGGUCUAGGACCAAUGCGGCGAAUCCUCCGUGACGGAUGCUGGUGGGGUGGUCCCUUCGGUCAAAAGUGAUCGGGCAGGAGGACCAUGGAUUGAACUUCGGGGCAACUGGCUCCAUCGCGUAUACAUCCCUGAGUGCACGCUUCCGCUCACUUUUGGGUAUGUGCGUUGCGUAUAUCAUGUUCACCGUCCGCACCUAUGGGGGGAAACCCUUCUGUCCUCUGUUGCUCGGCGGUCGGGUCUCUUCCUCGUCAUCGCUAUGCAUCCCCUUGUCAUUGUUUUCGGCAAUUAACUUGCCCGCCUGCUUGAAUACCCAACAAUCCCUGUUGGUGUGGUUGGCUGGUUUUUCGGGGGUGCCGUCUAUCUGGAACGGGCGGUCGAGUAUUCGGUCCAAAUUGGACGGACCCAGAGUAGUUCUUUUGAAUGGCUUUUUCCGCUGACUGGGUUUAGAGCCUCUGAAUCCGGCAUUGAUUGCUGUAUCCUCACUAUUGUCACCGUUGAUGCAGCGCUUGUUUUUGUUACGACGCGACCUGCCAUUUCGGUCCUUGAAGUCUGGACUUCCAGAAUUUUUGCUGAGGUUGUUGCUGCGUGCUAGCCAGCUAUCCUCACCCGCGCAGAAGCGGGUCAUGAGUGAUGUGAGGGCUGCCAUGGAUUUCGGCUUUUCCUGUCCCAGGUGCCGGGCAAGCCACUCGUCGCGGAUGUUAUGCUUGAAGGCUGCGAGGGCCUCCGCAUCCGGACAGUCGAUGAUUUGUUUUUUCUUGGUUAAGAACCAUGUCCAGAAUUUUCUGGCCGAUUCGUCUGGUUGCUGAAUUAUGUGGCUUAGGUCAUCAGCGUCUGGUGGUCGCACAUACGUGCCUUGGAAGUUAUCGAGGAAUGCGGCUUCCAGGUCUUCCAACUCCCAAUUGACUCUGCUGGCAAGCUGUUAAGCCAAUGUCGGGCUGGUCCUUUAAGCUUGAGGGGGAGAUAUUUGAUGGCGUGAAGAUCGUCACCGCGGGCCAUGUGGAUGUGAAGAAGAUAGUCUUCGAUCCAAACCGCGGGGUCUGUUGUGCCAUCGUAAGAUUCGAUAUUCACGGGUUUAAACCCUUCGGGGAUUUGAUGAUCCAUUAUUUCAUCUAUGAAGCAUAGUGGGUGUGCGGCGCCUCUGUACUGGGCGAUAUCACGACGGAGCUCGAAAGAGCUUUGUCUGUUUUGUUCGGCCCGGGCGGACUUACUGUGUCCGGCACGACGGUUGUCGUCACGUACCGUGGGGCGUCCACACGAUCCAUAGAUCGAUCUUGAUUGUUUUGCCUUAUCCUCCAAUAUAUCUCGCAAGUCCGGAGCGUUCCCCUAUGGCCUUGUGCUUUUCGAGCGAUGCCGGGGUAUGGGUCUAGUGAAGGGCCUAGAGGCCUCUCUAUCGCGACCACGGGGUGGUCGGUCAACCAUAUUGUCUCCUGGUGAUGCGGGUUCAUAUGCUUCCUCCUCUAAUCGGGGGAGAAGCCUGCGUUUAGGGUAGCUUUGGGAGGGGCGUUCGAGCUCAUGCUCUUCGGCCGCGAGGACUUCAGUCCAUCUGUCGGCUAGCAGAUCUUGAUCAGCUCUAAGUUGUUGCUGCUUUUUCUUGAGGCUGUUCGUCGUGGCCAUAAGCCUGCGUUUAAAACACUCUUGUUCGACGGGAUUCUCAGGCAUGACGAAUUCAUCGUCGUCGAGGCUUGCCUCAUCUCUGGAGGGAGGCAUAUAAUCCUCUACCUCUUCUUCUGCCGCUCUCUCAUGAGGGCUGGUGUCUCCGUCCUCCUGCGAUGGAUUUUGCUGGAGUGGGUUGUCUUCGGCACUGUCCGGUGUAUUAUUAUCUCCGGUGCAAGAAUCUUCAUUCUUGCUGUGGCGGGAUUUAGAGCGGCGCCGCUGACGCUGGCGCUUGGGCUGUUUCUUGGAGGGGUCAUCCUCCGCUGUUCCUUCUCCAUCCUUUGGGAUAUCCACCAUGUAUAUGUCAUAUGAUGAGGUGGCUUUCCAGUGCCCGGUGGGCGCUGGUUCUUGUUCGUCUCCGGCAUCGUCGUCCAUACCGUCGAUGUCUUCGGAGUCGUAGUCUAGCAUGUCGGUUAGAUCGUCGACAAUGGCUACCAAGUGGGUGGUGGGUGGGCUUUGAAUUUCUUCGUCGUCUGCAUCCCAACCGUCCUGACCGCAGUCCGGCCAGGGCUCUCUUGAUAACGAGAGAUACUUUAGCGAACUCAAGAUGUCGCCGAAAGGUGAGUGUUGAAAGAUGUCCGCUGCGGUGAACUCCAUGAUCGGCGCCCAAUCAGAUUUGAUCGGAGGGGGCACGGGAGGUUCGGAGUCCGGCGAGGAGUCCAGCACCUCGGAGUCAUGAGCUUUAUGAGGGACAAGGUCAGUGUUCGGCUCUAUCACCGUAGAGGUUGCAUCCCCCGAGGCGGUGUCUAGCCAUCCGUCCUCGAUCUGCGCAGCCAGCUCCAAAUUGAAGAUCGGAGCGGGUUCGAGUGCGGCCUCCAGGGUACUGUCCGACUGCAGAGCUAAAUCAUGCUCGCCGUGACAGUGCGGCACGCUGGGCUGUGGCUCGAAUCCAUCGAGGAUCAAGUCCCCGCGGAUGUCAGCCGUGAAGUUCAAACUUCCAAAUCUGACCUGAUGGCCAGGGGCGUAGCUUUCGAUCUGCUCCACACGGCCAAGCGAAUUGGCCCGCAGUGCAAAGCCGCCGAAUACGAAGAUCUGUCCGGGGAGAAAGGUCUCACCCUGGACUGCGUCGUUGAUGAUGGUCGAAAAAGCCAUUGAGCCUAUCGGUGACGACACGUAGGAACUCUCAUUGAAAGCACCAAUGUCGGUGUCAAAACCGGCGGAUCUCGGGUAGGGGGUCCCGAACUGUGCGUCUAGGCGGAUGGUAACAGGAGACAAGGGACACGAUGUUUUACCCAGGUUCGGGCCCUCUUGAUGGAGGUAAAACCCUACGUCCUGCUCGAUUAAUAUUGAUGAUGUGUGUUACAAGAGUGGAUCUACCAUGAGAUCAAGGAGGCUAAACCCUAGAAGCUAGCCUAUGGUAUGAUUGUUGUUCGUCCUAUGGACUAAAGCCAUCCGGUUUAUAUAGACACCGGAGAGGGCUAGGGUUACACAGAGUCGGAUACAAUGGUAGGAGAUCUACAUAUCCGUAUCGCCAAGCUUGCCUUCCACGCCAAGGAAAGUCCCAUCCGGACACGGGACGAAGUCUUCAAUCUUGUAUCUUCAUAGUCUUGGAGUCCGGCCGAUCACGAUAGUUCAGCUAUCCGGACACCCCCUAGUCCGGAACUCCCUCAGGGGGUCUCAAACUGUGCGUCUAAGGCUAAUGGUAACAGGAGGCGGGGGACACAAUGUUUACCCUGGUUCGGGCCCUCUCGAUGGAGGUAAUACCCUACUUCCUGCUUGAUUGAUCUUGAUGAUAUGAGUAUUACAAGAGUUGAUCUACCGCGAGAUCAUAGAGGCUAAACCCUAGAAGCUAGCCUAUGGUUAUGAUUGUUCUUGUCCUAUAGACUAAACCCUCCGGUUUAUAUAGACACUGGAGGGGGCUAGGGUUACAUAGGGUCGGUUACAGAGAAAGGAAUCUUCUUAUCCAAAUCGCCAAGCUUGCCUUCUACGCAAAGGAGAGUCCCAUCCGGACACGGGAUGAAGUCUUCUAUCUUGUAUCUUCAUAGCCUAACAGUCCGGCACACGCAUAUAGUCCGACUGUUCAAGGACCCCUUAAUCCAGGACUCCCUAAGUAGCCCCUGAACCAGGCUUCAACGACGAUGUGUCCGGCAUGCAGAUUGUCUUCGGCAUUGCAAGGCGGGUUCCUUCUCUGAAUUCUUCAAAGUACCUGUUGUAAAAAGCAGUGUCCGGUUCCCCAUUUAAUGUUACGCUCAUCGGCUUCUGCACCUCAACGGUCUCAGCCUCCACGUGUCGAGCGAAUGCGAGAAGUCAGGGCAUUUUUACAUUUGCCACCCUAGCCAUGUAAAUAAAUUUUCUAUUAAAGAGACGGGGAUCUUCAGAUCUGAUCCACACCACCCCCCCAAAGCGAGGAAUCAUCAGAGCGCAUCCGAAAAAACCACUCCAACAUGGCCGGCGCUCGCAGCUCUUCCUCCCGCUCUCGUAACACCAAGCCAGGCGAUUGGGAGAAGUGUACUAUAUCACAUGGCUGAUUACUGAAGUUGCAGACCCAAGGGUACCUACCUCCCACAUACUUAGUCCCCGUUCGAGCCGGACUACCUUCCUUCGACGUUGGGGAGCAGGCGGAGAACUUUCAUAACCCAUCCAGGGGGAGCGAGUAUGCCUCAUUUCCUACUUGCUGCAAGGUGUCAGAUUUGUAAUCCAUCCGUUUCUCCGUGGGCUUCUGGAGUUCUACAGCCUCCAGCUGCACAACUUCACACCUGCCUCCAUCCUGCACAUCGCAGGUUAUGUCGCUCUUUGCAAGCUAUUCUUGGGCUGCGAAGCCCAUUUCGAGCUAUGGAAGAAGCUGUUUUGCCUCGUCCCCCGAAAUCAAGGGGGAUCAAUAUUUCAAGUGGGCGGAGCCGAGAUAUGGCGCUUCGCCGGUACCGGAUACUUGUCCGGCACACCGAAGAAGGCACCCUAAGAGUGACCCUCCAAGUAGUUUUAUAUUGAGGACGUCUCCCUUCCCGACACAAUCCGGAUGGGCCUUCCGGAGUUUACAAAUGCUCCGCUGAGAAAGCGCCUUAACUGGCGUCCCCGGAGCCCUAGAGAGGAAGAUAACAGGGAGGUCCUUCAAUUGAUGAGCAAGAUAAGAAUACUCGCUCAAUCCGGAUUAUCAAUAGUCGAGGUUAUGGCGAUAUCCAUAAUGCGGGGGGUUCAACCACUCCAAUACCGAGGGCAUCCCAUGUGGCACUUUAAUGGAGACGACAAUGCCACCCGCUGUGGCCGAAAAGGCCCAGACUCCACCACCGCUCUGGUGGAAAUACUGUCUGAUUUGUACAAGGGGGAAAGAGAGGAAUUCAUCCGUAUUAAGCCACGGGAUGGAUUUUCCAUGUACAACCCUCCAAGCUGGGUGAGUUGCCAUCCAUUACUCUACUCUAUUUAUUCCCUGAGCCUUUGUUUUCAUAAAUAUUUACUCCGUCUACCUGUAACAUGAAUGGCAAAAAAUAAUCAGGGAGUUCCAUAGCCCGCCUCCACAGCCAGAGGACCGCAACUGGGCCCUCGACCCCGGAUUCAAAGAGGAUCCAGAUAUAUUCGUGGAGCUCGUGGAAGGGGUGUUUCACCAGGCGAGCUGUGACGGCACAGAGGUGGCCAUCAUUGCUGACUAUCUCGGCCUCCUCCCUGUAUUGCGUGUAAGUAAACAAGAGACUUAUGUUCAGAAAAGAUUUAUUCCUUCCCUCUUACCCACCGUGCAAUUCUUAUGCUCUAAAGGGAAGACGAUCGGCGCUCCAAGCCGAACCCGAGGCGACUCGCCAACAAGGGGCGCCCAUGUCGGGUAAGUCUUUAAAAAGAAAGGCGAACAAAAAUAUAGCGGAGCCGUCUUCAAGGAGGUAUGGUUUCGAACAUGCUCCGCGGUUCGUCAUCUUAAAAUAUGACACUAUUUGUUGUGUGUUUAGCAGAAAGAACAUCCGCCGAACUAUGUCUGGGGGUCCUGCCAACCGUGCCUCCACUAGCCGGAUUCCAGACCCGGUCUUGAGGACGGAGGCCAACACGGGAGUGACACCGGACUGUCCUCAAACAGAGGAUUCAGACAAAAUGUCCGCCACAAAUUCUGAAGUGGAGAGCGCCAUGAAUCAUCGGUGCCGGCAAGCCGCACUCUGCGACCCUGGUUUUUCAGAUGAGUCUUUUAAUGCCUUCAACUCGGGUGAUGCAUACAUCUGAGCCGCUCAGGAUGGGCUUGCUAGAGCCAUGGACCAGUAUUUGAAAUAUAUACGGGUAAAUAUAAAAAUCUAAUAAUUAUGUAUAUCAGUAGCCCCUGAGACUUAAAGCAGUUGGUACAAGUGAUUUAAGGAUCCUUGUACAUGUUGUCUCAAGAGCUGGAAGAGUGUCAAAUCCAGCUAGCGGCCGCUAUGGCCAAGCUGUCAAGAUUCGAAGAGGCAUCAACUGGUAUGUAUUCCCGGAUUGAGAAAAAUCAAUAUUGUGUUGGUAAACCAGUAAUGCUGACAAUAUCUGAUGACCAAAAUCCUCAGAUAAUCCGGAACAGAAUCCGGGAACCCCACCAGAGGGUGAGCAAGAGGCCCUAAGGCGAGCAGCUUCUGGCGAGCGUGUACUUACACAGGUCAUACAGAAAAAUAACAAGCUCCAAGAUGCUAAUACCCAGCUAGGUGAAGAAUUAAAAGAUGUUCGGGCCCAGCUGGCUGACUCUGUGAAGGAAAACAAGAGGCUUCGGCACAACAUCUUUAGUAUGUUCUCCAACGAACAUUUACAUAGUUCGGUAAAGAUAGGAACUAACAGAAUUAUGUCUGUAGGUAUGCUGACAGGCCGUCCCGAAGAGGAGAUGCCCGGAUCUUCAGGCGAUCUGCUAUAAGAGCUUUCGCACCUGCACGAGCAAGUUCGGCAGGUCAUGCAGGGUGUCGCCAAGGCCUUAUGGCCAUCCGCCUCCCUACCAGGGAGUAUGGGGUAGCUUGCUCAGCUUUUCAAGGGAGCGCAAUGGCGUUUCCGAUUAUGGAAGAUAUCUGCCUGCCGAGAAGGGGUGAGAGAGGCUUGGGCCAUGGUGAAAACAAGGUAUACCAAGCUUGAUCCGAAUCAUAUGGCCCGUGUCGGACCUAUAGGGUCAGAUGGGAAAGAGAUUCCCGUUAGUCUGGUAUAUGACCAGGUAGGAUUAGCUGCAAAAUAUUCCCAACAGGAUUGUAGGCUAGACAACCUGUUGGAUGGCAUAGAAGAAGAAGCAUUUGAGUCUAAAUGACUAUGUACUUCAAUUGACAUAUUUGUCCCUAGCCGGAUUGUAAAACCUUUGUCAUGGUAGACCUUUUUGCUUCGGCCUCUGGACCUGACAAUCUGGAGUGUUUCCGAAUACCCGCUCGGUAAUAUAAACCGGGUUACGCAUGGAAACCAGGCGUAGGGGUCAUAAUUGCUUGAACAGACAAGUACCCAACUAGUUAUGUUAUAUUACAUGGUUAGUAAGAAACAUCUUUCAGAGAGAAUAGUUCUGUUAAGGGUUCCUUUCCCUGGGUAUGCAUGCAUUAAAGUGCAUGUCCGGACUGCGAUCAAAAAGCGCAGGAUGUGUAAUCUUCUGGGGUUUUGUAUUGUGAUAGGUAAAAAACAUCUUUAGUCCACCGACCAAAUAUUCCCUGAAGAACGCUAGCUUUCAGCUUCACCCAGUCUGAGGUACACGUCCGGAGUACCUGGUAGUAACAAUCGCAGAGGUGCUCCCUUUAUGCCCUAGCCAAACUAACGGGAACGUAAGGCAUAAGCACAGGAGCCAGGCAACCCAGCUUGGCCAAAACUUAAGUCAUAUCGGUGCAUAUAAUGGUGAAGAAAAGGUGCAUAUGGAGAAAGAUGCAUAUGCAGUGGGCUUGAUGCCCUGAAGAUAAUUAUAUUAAGCUUCUAUAUAAGAAGCUCCCAGGUAUAAUGAGCGCACAUACUUGAAAGUUAGUGCAUUACAAGUGUGUAGUCUAGUCACAAUAAAGCCUUUAGAGCUUUUCAAAAAAGGAAAGGUGAGAGGAGGGCUAACAAGAAAAUCAAAAGCAACAGAGGGAAGGAGACGAACUGGGAGUUCGGCGCUAGGCGUAGAAUCUUUGGAGUCUGGCUGCGUUCCAUGGGUUCGGCUCGAGGCGAUUAUCGGAUGCAUCCCGCAGUUGGUACGCUCCUCCGGUGAGAACUUUGUCAAUAAUGAAGGGACCCUCCCACUUGGGCUUGAGCUUGUCCUUUUUCUUCUCCGGUAGGCGUAGAACGUGUUCGCCAAUAUUAUAAGUCUUGGCCCGUACUUCUAUUCUUUGAUACCUGUGAGCCUGUCGUUGAUACAACGUGGAACGGGAUUUUGCAACAUUCCGCUCCUCUUCCAGGGCAUCUAAGCUGUCCUGCCGAUCGAGCUCGACCUCUCUCUCUUCGUACAUGUGCACUCGAGAUGAGUCAUGAAUAAUAUCGCAGGGCAGCACAACCUCUGCGCCGUACACCAUGAAGAAGGGUGUGUAUCCGGUAGUGCGAUUUGGCAUGGUCCCCAACCCCCAGAGUACGGAGUCGAGCUCCUCAACCCAGUGCAUGUCUGAUUCUAUUAAGGAUCGUACUAGUCUAGGUUUAAUUCCGCUCAUAAUAACACCAUUGGCUCGUUCGACUUGACCAUUUGUUUGAGGGUGAUAGACGGAGGUGUAAUCGAGCUUAAUGCCCAUCUUGCCGCACCAAGUUUUCACCUCAUCGGCCGUGAAAUUGGAUCCGUUGUCGGUGAUGAUGCUGUGGGGGACACCAUAACGGUGUAUUACACCCGAUAUGAAGUCUAUCACGGGUCCGGAUUCGGCCAUUUUGACUGGCUUGGCUUCUAUCGAUUUGGUGAAUUUAUCCACCAUGACCAACAAGUAUUUUUUCUUAUGGCUUCCUCCUUUAAGGGGUCCAACCAUAUCAAGCCCCCAGACCGCGAAAGGCCAAGUUAUGGGGAUUGUUUGUAGGGCGGUGGGUGGCAUAUGGCUUUGGUUGGCGAAAAGCUGGCAUCCGACACAAUGUUGGACAAGGUCUUGUGCGUCUGCCCGGGCCGUCGGCCAAUAAAAACCUGUACGAAAGGCCUUGCUUACAAGGGCCCGAGCUGCAGCGUGGUGACCGCUGAGGCCGGCAUGAAUUUCAGCCAAGAGCUGCCUCCCUUCUUGCUCAGAGAUACAUCUUUGAAGUACUCCGGUAGCGCUUUUAUUAUAAAGCUCUCCCUCAUGGACCUUGUAGGCUUUAGAGCGCCGCACAAUGCAGCGUGCCUCAUUUUGGUCCUCAGGGAGUUCGUGCCUAUUAAGGUAGGCCAAAAAGGGUUCAGUCCAUGGGGCAAUAACAGCCAUGAUGAGAUGGGCUGAAGGUGUUAUUUCGGUGGCAGAGCCCUCGAUUAUGUCCGUGUGUUUGGAAUCUGGGGUUGUGGUCGGAUCCGGCGUGAUGUUGCCGGUCUCCCCUUCCCAUACUACGAAUGGCUUGAAAAGCCUUUCCAAGAAGAUGUUAGGUGGGACAGGGUCGCGUUUAGCGCCAAUUCGGGCGAGGACAUCUGCCGCUUGAUUGUUUUCUCAAACCACGUGAUGAAAUUCGAGCCCCUCGAACCGAGCUGACAUCUUUAGGACGACAUUACGAUAUGCCACCAUUUUUGGAUCUUUGGCAUCAAAGUCUCCAUUUAUUUGAGAUAUUGCAAGGUUUGAAUCCCCACGUACUUCUAGGCGCUGGAUGCCCAUGGAGACAGCCAUCCGAAGACCAUGCAACGGAGCCUCGUAUUCGGCUGCAUUGUUGGAGUCUGUGUAUAAUAUUUGGAGUACGUAUUGGACUGUAUCUCCCAUGGGGGAUGUUAAGACAACAUCUGCCCCGAGACCUGCCAGCAUUUUAGAGCCGUCGAAAUGCAUGAUCCAGUUGGAGUAUGCGCCAUACUCUUUAGGGAGUUUGGCCUCUGUCCAUUCAGCGACGAAAUCCGCCAAUACCUCGGAUUUAAUGGCUCGCCAUGGUUUAUAUGUUAUGUCGAAUGGGAGGAGCUCGAUGGCCCACUUGGCAAUCCGGCCCGUGGCAUCACGGUUGUUUAUUAUGUAAUUAAGUGGUACUUCGGAGGCCAUCGUGAUUGAACACUCUUGAAAGUAGUGUCAUAAUUUCCGGGAUGCCAUGAAGACUGCGUAUGCUAUUUUUUGAUAAUGUGGGUACCGGGAUUUGCAUGGUGUGAGGACAGUGGACACGUAGUAUACUGGCUUCUGAACCGGGAAUUUGUGUUCGUCCUCCUCUCAUUCGACGACGAGCAUUGCGCUCACAACUUGGUGUGUUGCAGCUAUGUAUAACAACAUGGGUUCGCCAGCGUUCAGUGCAUCCAGGAUUGUAUUGCUUGCUAGAAGAGCCUUUAUUUCCUCUAGUCCGUCCGUCGCCGCGUCCGUCCAUCCGAAGUGUUCGGUACGCCCAAGGAGGCGAUAAAGUGGCAAUGCCUUUUCUCCUAAUCUGGAGAUAAAGCGGCUUAGAGCUGCUACGCAUCGCGCUAGCUUCUGGAUUUGUUUGAGAUCUGUUGGGAUAUCCAACUGUGACAAAGCCCGGAUUUUAGCUGGGUUUGCUUCAAUUCCUCUAUUGGAAACGAUGAAGCCCAACAGCUUUCCGGGGGGAACGCCGAAAACACAUUUUUCCAGAUUAAGCUUAAUGUCAUAUGUUUGGAGGUUAUUGAACGUGAGCCUUAGAUCGUCUAUUAAUGAUUCGGCGUGUCUGGUCUUGAUGACUACAUCGUCGACGUAUGCUUCAACUGUUUUGCUGAUUUGUUUCUCUAGGCAUGUUUGAAUCAUGCGUUGGUAGGUGGCACCAGCGUUUUUGAGCCCGAAAGGCAUAGUGUUGAAGCAGAAGGGACCAUAUGGGGUUAUAAAUGCCGUUGCGGCUUGAUCAGACUCCGCCAUUUUGAUUUGAUGGUAUCCGGAGUAUGCGUCGAGGAAACACAGUGAGUCGUGUCCCGCGGUAGCAUCGAUAAUCUGAUCGAUGCGUGGGAGAGGGAAGGGAUCCUUAGGGAAGGCCUUGUUGAGGUCUUUGAAAUCGACGCAUAGGCACCAGGAUUUAUCCUUCUUUGGUACCAUCACCAAGUUUGCUAGCCAAUACGGGUGUUUUAUUUCUCUGAUGAAUCUAGCCUUGAGUAACUUGGCUAGUUCCUCUCCCAUGGCUGGUCGUUUGGGUUCUGAAAAGUGCCAUAGUGUUUGCUUGACUGGCUUGUAUCCCUUCAGUAUGUUAAGGUUGUAUUCGGCCAGCCUGCAUGGGAUCCCCAGCAUAUCGGAAGGGUGCCAGGCGAAAAUAUCCCAAUUCUCGUGUAGAAAUGCUUGCAGUGCGGCGUCAAUUGAGGGGUCCAGCUGCGCCCCGAUGGAUGCUGUCUUCGAGGAGUCCGUUGGGUGGAGUUGGAAUUUGACUACUUCGUCCGCUGGUUUGAAGGAGGUGGACUUGGAUCGCUUAUCGAGUAUCACGUCGUCCCUAUCCAUUGUAGAGCGUAAUGCAGUUAAUUCUUCAGCCGCGAGGGCUUCAGACAAUGCUUUGAGGGCCAAGGCGGCUGUUUUAUUUUCAGCGUGGAGUGCUGUGUCCGGAUCACUAGCAAGGGUGAUGAUUCCAUUGGGCCCGGGCAUUUUGAGCUUCAUGUACCCGUAAUGGGGUAUAGCUUGGAAGCUCGCAAACGCAUCCCGCCCUAACAAGGCAUGAUAUCCACUCGUGAAAGGGGACACCUGGAAGGUUAUUUCUUCAGGCCGAUAAUUCUAUGGCGUGCCGAAUACCACAUCGAAUGUGAUUUUUCCCGCACAUCGUGCCUCCCGGCUGGGAAUAAUUCCUCUGAAGGUUGUGCUGCUUUGUUUAGUGUGGCUCCUGUCUAUUUCCAUUUUAUUGAGAGUUUCCUCGUAAAUGAGGUUUAGUCCGCUACCGCCGUCCAUGAGCACUUUGGUAAGCCGGAAGCCGUCCACAAUUGGACUGAGGACUAAGGCGGCUGGUGCCCGGACUAUCUUGAAUUGCGGUUCGUCACUGGCACUGAAAGUUAUGGCCUUGUCGUUCUAGGGGUUUAUUGCUCCGACUUGGCAGACUUUGGUGAGGAAUCGUAGUGCUCUCUAGCGCCUAUUACCUGAGGAAAAAGUCUCGAAGACUAUCAAUACUGUAGCAUUGUGUUAUGUGGGAUGUUGAUCUAUGAUGUUUUUUAUGAGGAGAUCCUCGCCGCUCUUGGCCACCUGCCGAAGUAUCCAACAUGCUCUAAUGCUGUGUGUUGGUAUAGUAUCCGGUGUGGUGUGUAUUUUGCAUGGCCUAUCGAGCCAUCCCUCCAAAGCGGUUGCGCGCCCCGAAUUGGGCUUCGAUUUCUUCGUGAUUGGAUCGGGCGACCUACGAGGGUACACCCUUUUUGCUUGGACGAGGGGUUUAGUGAGAGCCGGUGGAUCCCAAAAGGCUGCCUGAGUUUUCCAGGCGCUUUCCAUCACGUAGUACUUAUGUACUAUGAUCACCAAAUCAUCGAAGCGUGAUAUGUGACGGCGAUUUGUGGUGUUCAGGAGUCCCUUGUCUGUGCAAUUUUUGCAGAAUAAUGAGAUUGCAUCUUCAUCGCAACAGUCCUUGACCUUGUCCUUGAUGAUGAGGAAUCUGGCCCAAAAGUGAUGUACAGUCUCUUGGGACUGUUGUCUGAUGUGGGAAAGAUCGCUUGAGUCUGGGCGGGUGGGUGGAUUUAAGUCCGGACCCAGAUCUGAUUCGUGACCCAGAGCUUGAGGAGUUUCCAAAGUUAAUAGUCCGGACUCCGAGAUGUAAACAAAUUUUUCUGGCCCACAGUCCGAUUCUAAGUUCGGAGUUCGGGGCGUUUCUUCCCGCAGACAUGUAUCCGGCUUGAUGAGCUCGGAAAUCUAGACACACUUCGUCCUCAAUAUGGGGGAAGAGUUGUUGGGUUGCUCCUCCACCACCGCUAUCUGGUGGGUGAUCGGCGGAGAUUCAAUCUCUCUCUGAUCGGGUUUAAGCCCAAUCUGCUCGUAGUCCAAAGACACUCCCAGAGCGGCGAUGUGAUCCAGGAGCCCGUUUAAGGAUGAUAACUCCGUUGGAUCCAUCUGCUCGGCGUAUUCUGAGCUAACACGGAGGCGAUUUUUGAUGACUUGAGAAGUCAUGGUUGGCGCGACGGCCGAAUGGGCGGUCAAGAGGAAGCCGCCCAGCCGGAGAGUUUGUCCUGAGGCCAGAGCUCCCCCGGAGGUGAUGUUGUCCUUGAUAACAAGGCGAGCCAUCAACCCUAUCUUCGACGUCACAGUGGAACUCUCAAUGAAAGCACCAAUGUCGGUGUCAAAAUCGGCGGAUCUCGGGUAGGAGGUCCUGAACUGUGCGUCUAAGGCUAAUGGUAACAGGAGGUGGGGGACACAAUGUUUACCCAGGUUCGGGCCCUCUUGAUGGAGGUAACACCCUACUUCCUGCUUGAUUGAUCUUGAUGAUAUGAGUAUUACAAGAGUUGAUCUACCACGAGAUCGUAGAGGCUAAACCCUAGAAGCUAGCCUAUGGUUAUGAUUGUUCUUGUCCUACGGAUUAAACCCUCUAGUUUAUAUAGAUACCGGAGGGGGCUAGGGUUACACGGGGUCGGUUAUAGAGAAAGGAAUCUUCUUAUCCGAAUUGCCAAGCUUGCCUUCCACGCAAAGGAGAGUCCCAUCCGGACAUGGGACGAAGUCUUCUAUCUUGUAUCUUGAUAGCCUAACAGUCCAGCACACGCAUAUAGUUCGGCUGUCCGAGGACCCCUUAAUUCAGGACUCCCUCAAGGAGGCCCUUGAGGCAGGGGCGCAUGGGACUCAGGCAGCCGGCGACUUGACUCUCGUGACGCGAGGCCGCCACGUGAGGGAGCUCGGGAGUGCGGGGACGAGGUGGCUCUGGACGGUGAUGAGGCGGGGCUAGAGCUGCUCUGGUUGGUGGGUGGCUGAAGACGAGAUGGCCGCGGGCACCGGUUAGCUCGAUGGGGAAUUCAAAGGAGAGGAGGUGGUGGUUGGCUGGAUCGUUUGGAUGGAUUGGGCAAGACCCGAGGAAGGGGGAGACCAGGUGGGUGGAUCGUGAGGGAUCCUGAGGGAGAUGGUCAGUGGGUGGCGACGGCGUGGAGGAUUUGAUGGAUGGGACAACUAGGGCUAGGGUUAGACUGCUUAUAUAGUAGGUAGGUAAAAGGAGGGAAGAUUUGGAUCAUUGGAUCGGGAUCGGGCAGACAAAAAAUAUGGCUAGGGAAGUCCAACUAAGAAAAUGGAGAUGUUCUAUAGAUGUUUGGGGAUGAUCCGAAUCCAACGGUGAUGACUGAGUGGGUCAGGUUUGGGGCAGUUUUGGACGCGCUCGAGAGGAGAUCUGAGGGAGGUCGAAAAAGACAAAGGGUCCCUACAAAGGUCUACAAAGACAAGGAAGAACGGUAACUGUGAACGGAUGCAAGCUUUAUGAAAACAUGCAAAUGCAAUGCGCAUGAUGCUAUGAGAUAAGAUGCAUGACAUGAACAAAAUGCAAAACGGAAGACAAAAACCCAACCACGGAGAAAAUAAUAUAUCACAUAGCCGGAAAUGGCAAGAGUUGGAGUUACAAAUAUGGAAAGUUACAUCCGGGGUGUUACAGGGCGCCCCUAUGAGACACAACAAUUGCUCUUAACCGUGUGCGGCGCCCUCCUCCACAGUUUACGCCUCCGGCCAUAUUCUCGCUGUUCUUAGGCGAAGCCCUGCGCGGAUCACAUCACCAUCACCGUCACCAUGCCGUCGUGCUGAUGGAACUCAUCUACUCCCUCGACGCUGUGCUGGAUCAAGAGCUUGAGGGACGACAUCAUGUUGAACGUGUGCAGAACUCGGAGGUGCCGUACCACUACUAGGGAAAACCUUAUACACAGCAUCUUAGCAGUACCGCUGGACAAAAUAUGGCGCUACUGCUACUUAGUAGUAGCGUGUUUAAAUAGACCGCGCUGCUGCUACUACUUUAGAAGUAGUGCGUUCUGCUAAAGCGCACUGUUGCUAUAUUUGUACUAGGCGCAGAUGGCUAGCCCCACUUAACAGUAGCGCGUAUGCGUGACCAGCACUACUGCUAUGUCCCGUAGCAGUAGCGUGUAUCUCUGAAACGCGCUACUACUUGCUUCCCUUAUCCUGGAACAGUUCACUCUCUCACUCACUCUCCCUCUCACUCGCUCUCGCCCGCGCCGAACCCGUCAUCCGACGCCGCUGCGCUGCUCCUCGCCGAGGUAUUCCCUCCUCCCCUCCCUCCUCCCCACUCCUCCUCUGGCCUCCCUCCUCCCACCGCCCCUUCCUCCUCCUCCUCUGGCCACCCCUCCCUCCUCCUCCUUCGNNNNNNNNNNNNNNNNNNNNNNNNNNNNNNNNNNNNNNNNNNNNNNNNNNNNNNNNNNNNNNNNNNNNNNNNNNNNNNNNNNNNNNNNNNNNNNNNNNNNNNNNNNNNNNNNNNNNNNNNNNNNNNNNNNNNNNNNNNNNNNNNNNNNNNNNNNNNNNNNNNNNNNNNNNNNNNNNNNNNNNNNNNNNNNNNNNNNNNNNNNNNNNNNNNNNNNNNNNNNNNNNNNNNNNNNNNNNNNNNNNNNNNNNNNNNNNNNNNNNNNNNNNNNNNNNNNNNNNNNNNNNNNNNNNNNNNNNNNNNNNNNNNNNNNNNNNNNNNNNNNNNNNNNNNNNNNNNNNNNNNNNNNNNNNNNNNNNNNNNNNNNNNNNNNNNNNNNNNNNNNNNNNNNNNNNNNNNNNNNNNNNNNNNNNNNNNNNNNNNNNNNNNNNNNNNNNNNNNNNCCUAUGCCUCUGAGGGAGUCCCGGAUUAGGGGGUGUCCGGAUGGCCGGACUAUGACCUUUGGCCGGACUCUCGGACUAUGAAGAUACAAGAUUGAAGACUUCGUCCCGUGUCCGGAUGGGACUUUCCUUGGCGUGGAAGGCAAGCUUGGCGAUACGGAUAUGUAGAUCUCCUCCCAUUGUACCCGACUCUGUGUAACCCUAACCCUCUCUCGUGCCUAUAUAAACCGGAGGGUUUUAGUCCGUAGGACAAACAACAAUCAUACCAUAGGCUAGCUUCUAGGGUUUAGCCUCUCUGAUCUCGUGGUAGAUCUACUCUUGUACUACCCAUAUCAUCAAUAUUAAUCAAGCAGGAGUAGGGUUUUACCUCCAUCGAGAGGGCCUGAACCUGGGUAAAAACAUCGUGUCCCUUGUCUCCUGUUACCAUCCGCCUAGACGCACAGUUCGGGACCCCCUACCCGAGAUCCGCCGGUUUUAACACCGACAUUGGUGCUUUCAUUGAGAGUUCCUCUAUGUCGUCACCUUUAGGCCCGAUGGCUUCUUCGAUCAUCAACCACGACGCGGUCUAGGGUGAGACUUUUCUCCCCGGACAGAUCUUUGUAUUCAGCGGCUUUGCAUUGCGGGCCAAUUCACUUGGCCAUCUGGAGUAGAACGAAAGCUACGCCCCUGGCCAUCAGGUCAGAUUUGGAAGUUUAAACUACACGACUGAAAUCCGCGGAGACUUGAUCUUCAACGAAUUCGAGCCACAGCCGAGCGCGCCGCACUGUCACGAUGGGCAUGAUCUAGCUCUGCCGCCGGACAGUGCCCAUAGCGUCGCUCAGGUGUCCACUUCGACCCUUAGCUCGGAGCCGACUGCGCCGGUCGAGGACGCGUGGAUAAACACCGCCUCGGGGGAUGCAAUCUCUACAGCGAUCGAGCCGAACACCAAUCUUGUCCUUCGCGGAGCUCGUGACUCCAAGGUGCCGGACUCCUUUCCGGACUCUGAAUAUUCCGCACCCCUCCCGAUCGAACCCAAUUGGGCUCCGAUCAUGGAGUUCACCGCCGUGGACAUCUUUCAACACUCGCCCUUUGGCGACAUCCUGAAUUCACUAAAGUCUCUCUCUUUAUCAGGAGAGCCCUGGCCGGACUAUGGUCAGCAAGGUUGGGAUGUGGACGACGAAGAAAUUCGAAACCCACCCACAACCCACUUUGUAGCCACUGUCGACGAUUUAACCGACAUGCUCGACUUAGACUCCGAAGACAUCGACGGUAUGGACGCCGAUGAAGGAGACGACCAUGAACCAGCGCCUAUAAGGCACUAGAAAGCCACCUCGUCAUACGACAUAUACAUGGUGGACACCCCAAAAGAAGGGGAUGGCGAUGGAACAACGGAGGAUGACCCCUCCAAGAAACAGCCUAAGCGCCGGCGUCAGCGGCGCCGCUCUAAAUCCCGCCAAAGCAAAAACAGCGAGUCCGGCACCGGAGACAAUAACACCCCGGACAGUGCCGAAGACAACCCCCUCCAGCAGGAUUCAGCGCAAGAGGAUGGAGAAGCCAACCCUCAUGAGAGAGCGGCAGACAAAGAGGUCGAGGACGAUAAUUACAUGCCUCCCUCCGAAGACGAAGCAAGCCUCGACGACGACGAAUUUGUCGUGCGUGAGGACCCCGUCGAACAAGAGCAUUUCAAACGCAGGCUCAUGGCCACGACAAGCAGCCUCAAGAGAAAACAUCAGCAACUUAGAGCUGACCAAGACUUGCUAUCCGACAGAUGGACGGAAGUCCUCGCUGCCGAAGAGUACAAACUCGAACGCCCCUCCAAGAGCUACCCAAAGCGCAGACUGCUACCCCAACUAGAGGAGGAAGCAACUAAACCUACAUUACCAGCGUAUGAUGCGGCCGAUCGGCCACCCCAUGGCCUCGACAGAGAGGCCUUUCGGCCCUCAACUCAAGCCGCACCCCGGCGCCGCUCAAAAAGUACCAAGGCAUGGGGAAACGCGCCAGACCUACGAGACAUAUUGGAGGACAAGGCAAGGCAAACAAGAUCGAUCUACGGAUCGCGUGGGCGCCCCACGACAUGUGACGAUAACCAUCACGUCGGAUAUGGCAAAUAUGGCCAGGCCGAACACAAUAGACAAAGCUCAUCCGAGCUACGUCGUGAUAUAGCCCAGUACAGAGGCGCCGCACACCCACUAUGCUUCACAGAUGAAGUAAUGGAUCAUCAAAUCCCCGAGGGUUUUAAACCUGUAAACAUCGAAUCGUACGAUGGCACAACAGAUCCUGCGGUAUGGAUCGAGGAUUAUCUCCUUCAUAUCCACAUGGCCCGUGGUGAUGAUCUACACGCUAUCAAAUACCUCCCACUCAAGCUUAAAGGACCGGCUCGGCAUUGGCUUAACAGCUUGCCAGCAGAGUCAAUUGGUUGUUGGGAGGACCUGGAAUCCACAUUCCUUGACAAUUUCUAGGGCACCUAUGUGCGACCACCAGACACCGAUGACUUAAGCCACAUAACUCAGCAGCCAGAGGAAUCGGCCAGACAAUUCUGGACACGGUUCCUAACCAAGAAAAAAUAAAUAGUUGACUACCCGGACGCAGAGGCCCUCGCAGCCUUCAAGCAUAACAUCCGAGACGAAUGGCUUGCCCGACACCUAGGACAGGAAAAGCCGAAAUCCAUGGCAGCCCUCAUGACACUCAUGACCCGCUUUUGCGCGGGAGAAGACAACUGGCUAGCUCGUAGCAAUAACAUGACCAAGAGCCCUGGUAAUUUGGAUACCAAGGAAAACAAUGGCAGGUCGCGUCGCAACAAGCACAAACGCUGGAUUAACAACGACAACACUGAGGAUAUGGUAGUUAAUGCCGGAUUCAGAGGCUCUAAACCCGGUCAGCGAAAAAAGCCAUUCAAAAGAAAUACUCCGGGCCCGUCAAGUUUAGACCGGAUACUCGAUCGCUCGUGCCAGAUACAUGGCACCCUCGAACAACCAGACAAUCACACCAACAGGGAUUGUUGGGUGUUCAAGCAGGCAGGCAAGUUAAGUGCCGAAAACAGAGACAAGGGGCUACAUAGCGAUGACGAGGAGGAGCCCCGACCGCCGAACAACAGAGGACAGAAGGGCUUUCCCCCACAAGUGCGGACGGUGAACAUGAUAUACGCAACCCACAUCCCCAAAAGGGAACGGAAGCGUGCGCUUAGGGACGUAUAUGUGUUGGAUCCAGUCGCCCCAAAGUUCAACCCAUGGUCCUCCUGCCCGAUCACUUUUGAUAGAAGGGACCACCCCACUAGCAUUCGUCACGGCGGAUUCGCCGCAUUGGUCCUAGACCCAAUCAUUGACGGAUUUCACCUCACUAGAGUCCUCAUGGACGGCGGCAGCAGCCUGAACCUGCUUUAUCAGGAUACAGUGCGGAAAAUGGGCAUAGAUCCCUCAAGGAUUAAACCCACAAAGACGACCUUUAAAGGCGUCAUACCAGGUGUAGAGGCCAGCUGUACAGGCUCAAUUACACUCGAAGUGGUCUUCGGAUCCCCGGAUAAUUUCCGAAGCGAGGAGUUAAUCUUCGACAUAGUCCCGUUCCGCAGCAGCUAUCACGCCCUGCUCGGACGAACCGCAUUUGCAAAGUUCAAUGCGGUGCCGCACUACGCAUAUCUCAAGCUCAAGAUGCCAGGCCCUCGUGGAGUCAUUACGGUCAAUGGAAACACCGAACGCUCUCUCCGAACAGAGGAGCACACAGCGGCCCUUGCGGCGGAAGUACAAAGUAGCCUAUCAAGGCAAUUCCCCAGUCCGUCUGUUAAGCGUCCGGACACCGUCAAGCAUGCCUGGAGUAGCCUACAACAAGACUGUCUGGCACGUUCCGAGCUAGCAUAGCAGUGCGGCCCCAACCCCAGCCCUCGCGAGAUUGCGAAACCAGUACCACGCGUACAUAAUUAUGCUCUGGAAAUACCGUGGGCAUAAGGGGAGGAGCACAACCACGGCAUGCCCAGAAUGCGGCUCAACCGCACUAGGGGCUCCCAAUUUUUGCGAUUUUUCUUUUUUUACUUUCAGGACUCCACUAUUCAGAAGACCUGUCCGGCAAUACAAUCGCCGGACACACGAUGCAACAGCCAGGGAGACAACAAGCCACGUCGAACGUCCAGGUGGUCUCUAUAACGAGCUAAAUACGUGUCUUACUUAAAGUCUCACAGCUUGCCCCUGGAGGGGGACAUGUCAAAUAAUCCCAUCUCUUGCCUAUCGCACUAUUUGUAUCGUUCUGCUUUCAUAGCAACCCUCUAAUAAACAAUACAUAGCUCUUGUCUAUUAUUGCAUUCAUUUUUUAUGUACAUAUGUUCAACUAUGACAUUAUGCAACCGUACACUUUGGUACAGCUAAUACACCAGGGGCUUAAGUUCUCCAAAAUACGGUGUGAGAAGACCGAACACUCUCAUGAGUGUGGCACCCUGAACUUAUAGCAUUAUAUGCAUCGGCUCCGAAUCAUGUCUUGGGUCAAUAGUUGGAUUUGCCCGGCUCCCAUGUUUUGGUACCUUACGUUCCGCUAUACCGGCUAAGGUAGCGCUGGGAGAACUACUGCGAUUGUGCCCCAGUUGAGCUGGGUUAACACCUCAGUAGAGAAAGCUAAAACUGACCGUCAUGAUAGGGCGAGAGCCGGUCACUAUUCGUGAGGUUUUUCGAGUCCUUAAAAACUUAUGCCGCUUAGAGCGAGGAGCUGGCUUUGUCUGGCCUAGGCGUGGAUAGCGCCCCGAACUCGGUCUUCCGAAUACUAAGGGCUUCGCCGAAAUUUAAAAUUAUAGAAUUCUAUGGCUAAGUGAGAGUGAUAAAGCAUUAUAAGUCCUAUUGCCUUGUUCAUUGUGCUGAGCGCCUCCCUCGACGGACCCAAGAAUGGGAACAAGAGCGCUUAGAUUUAUCCCGAACACCCCAGCACUCGUGGCACGGGGGUAGAAGCCGACGACUUGCAUCUCUCAGAUUUAAUAGACAGCCGCACAGAAGGUAAUAUUUUAAAUUCAAAAAGUGUUGCUUAGCGCAUAUGAACAAGUUUUCAGCGCACAGGAUAAACACGAGCGAGUUUAUUUAAAAAUCACAUCCCUGGUACAUUCAUUCGCCACAAGGCGGGCACCCUUCAGGACGCCCUCAUAAUACGUCUCGAGCCUGCGAUGCUCCUUCCCCUCCGGUGGCCCUUCUGUCACCAGCUUCUCAGCAUCUAGCUUGCCCCAGUGCACUUUAGCACGGGUAAAAGCCCUACGGGCGCCUUCGAUGCAUACGGAGCGCUUGAUGAUUUCAAGCCGCGGACAGGCAUCCACCAGCCGCCUCACCAGCCCGAAGUAGCUCUCAGGCAGGACCUCCCCAGGCCACAGCCGGCCUAUAAGGCCCUUCAUGGCCUGUUCGGCCACCUUAUGGAGCUUGACCAGCUGCUUCAGCUGGUCGCUCAAGGGCACCAGGCGUUCGGCCCCAGCAUACUAGGACCAGAACACCUUCUUCGUCGAGCUCCCUUCUUCAGCUCGGUAGAAUGCGGCGGCGUCGGACACACUGCAGGGCAGAUCUACGAAUGCUCCUGGAGAGCUCCUGAUUCGGGUAAGUAACACGUAAUUCACUUUCACAUGCUUGCUUUUCAUAAAGAAUGCCUUACCCGCCGCUAUCUUUUUCAUUGCCUCAAUCUCUUGGAGGGCUUUUUGGGCUUCGGCCUUGGCAGACUUGGCGCUUUCAAGUGCCGAGGCAAGCUCGGACUCUCGCGUCUUUCAGUCAAGCUCUAGACUAUCGUGUUUCUUCACGAGAGCAUCGAGCUCUUGCCGCACCUCCGCCACCCGCGCCUCUUGUUUCUCUCGCUCGGUGCGCUCCAUGGCCGCAUUGUCUUCGGCCUUGGACAACGCUUCCUUCAGGGUCGCCACCUCGGUUGUGGCCCCUGUAACAUUCACGUUGGUCCUGUCAUUAUUUGCAACCAGGUAUUUUUAUAUAUAUUUACAUAAGGCACUACCUACCUUCCUUGUCCUCGAGCUGCUUCUUGGCAAGGCCGAGCUCAUUCUCGGACCGCUCGAGGCUCUGCUUCAAUGCAUCGACCUCCGCAGUCAGUGCGGUAGAGGUAAGCAACGCAACCUGCAUUCCCAUAUUGACAUAUUUUUGUUAGACUCCUGCGUAUAUCUUUUUAGAUCCUCAGUCCGGCUUUUCUUUCCGAACACCAAAUUGAGCAUCAGGGGCUACUGUCUAUGCGGUAACAUUUUUACAUGUUUUAAAAUACAUACCUCAAAGCCUGUUAGAAGGCUGGCAUAGGCUUUUGUCAGCCCGCUCUUGGCGGACUGAACCUUCUCGAUCACCGCACUCAUAACAGUGCGGUGCUCCUCGUUGAUGGAGGCGCCGUUCAGCACCUCCAGCAAAUUGUCCAGCGCCUCCGAUUGGACGGAGGCCACCGAUGUCGUAGGCUUGCCCUUCUUGCGAAGGGGCCGCCUGCCGGACUCCGGAACCACUGAAGGUUCCGGUGCGGUGUCCGGCCCAGGGCCGGACUUAGAUCCCUCCAGGGUUUUAUCCCCUUCGGGCCUGGAGUCCGGGAGGUCGCCUUGCUACGCCUCCAGGACCACCUCCUCCUGGCUCAGCCCCUUUCGAGACUCCGCCUCGGCUUCGUCCGUAGGGUGGGGGGAGGUAGCUGUCGGGAGUGAAAGACUAUUCACAUCCGACGAAUCCAGGGAGCCGCUCGACGAAUCAUCGAGCCGAGCCUUGGGCGGACUGCAUGAUUAUAUUCAGCGUCAGAAGGUACCGUGCAAAUAAAGGAACACCAUGAACUAUUCUGGUAUCCAUAUACUUACGAUUUGGCCAGGGGCUUGGCCCUGGAUGGCCACUCCUCUCUGCCGUCGUCGGCGUCGGAGGCGUAGUCCGAAAGAAGGGUCUUCCCCUCCUUGGACCCUCCGGCCUCCCUAGUUGGGGCGGCCUUUCUUUUCUUUCCUCCCCCCGUUGGAGGGGGAGAGGCUUCUUCUUCCUCCUCCUCGUCUUCGGAGGAGGAGUGCGUUUUGGGGUCAUCGGGCGAUGAGUCCAACACCGCGCCGGGAGCUCCUGCGAGUUCCUGUGGCCUUCUUCUUGGUCUUCUUCUCCGGCACCACGUGGGGUGCCGGAACCAGCAGCUUUGCCAAGUGGGCGUCUGCUGGGCCUUCGGGCAAAGGAGCCGGACAGUCGAUCUGUCCGACCUUCUUCUGCCAGUCCUGUUAAAGGAAUGGGAGUUUAGAUCCCGCAUAGAGUCAAUCUAUGAAAAACAAUUACCCCGUAAUGGGUAAACUAAGCUUACCACGCUGGCUUGGCGCUUCGCGCAGAAUCUGCGAUCCUUGGUAAUGGGAGGGUGAACCUCGGAGCUCUUGAAAAGCACCUUCCAGGCAUCUUCGUGCAUUGUGUCGAAGAGCCUGGACAAAGUUUGGUGCUGGGCCGGGUCGAAUUCCCACAAAUUAAAAGCCCGUCGUUGACACGGGAGGAUCUGGCGGAAGAGUAUGACCUGGACUACAGUGACAAGUUUAACCUUCCUGUCGAUCAGGUCUUUGACGCAGGUUUGGAGUCCGGUCACCUCCGCCGAAUUACCCCACGAUAGGCCCGUCUCUUUCCAUGAGGUGAGCCGUGUGGGGAUGCCAGAUCGGAAUUCGGGGGCCGCUACCCAUUCAGGGUCACGCGGCUCAGUGAUGUAGAACCACCCCGAUUGCCACCCUUUGAUGGUUUCCACGAAGGCGCCCUCGAGCCAUGUGAUGUUGGCCAUCUUUCCCACCAUGGCGUCCGCACUCUGCUUGCCGGCCACCCACGACCUUUGGCUUGACGUUGAAGGUCUUUAGCCAUAAGCCGAAGUGGGGUUUGAUGCGGAGGAAGACCUCGCACACGACGAUAAAUGCUGAGAUGUUGAGGAUGAAGUUUGGGGCCAGAUCGUGGAAAUCCAGGCCGUAGUAGAACAUGAGUCCGCGGACAAAUGGGUGGAGAGGGAAGCCCAGUCCACGGAGGAAAUGGGGGAGGAACACCACCCUCUCAUGGGGCCUGGGGGUGGGGAUGAGCUGCCCCUCAUCUGGGAGCCGGUGUGCAAUGUCAUAAGACAGGUAUUCGGCCUUCCUCAACUUUUUGAUGUGCCUCUCCGUGACGGAGGAGGUCAUCUGCCUACCGCUCCGGACAUUGUUGGAGAAGGUUGAGGUGGGAAGUGCGGACUUGGGCGCUAGAGCUCGAGUGCGCGGAAAUGGAUAAGCAAGGGAGGAAGAAGGCGUAAAUGGAAAGGGUGGAUCCUUAUCCCCUUAUAUGGGCGGCCGAAAUUAUGUGCCCCCACCAGCCAAGUAAAACUCGCUUAUCUCCCAAGCGCCGCAAUUAAUGGCGCGGUUGGGUUACCCACGCCCGUAUUGAUGAGAAUCCCGGAAUAAGGGGACAUGAUCUCUGCUUUGACAAGACGUGCCAAGGAAACCGCCUCGAUAAACGCGCUGAGGUGGGAUAGUAAAACUAUUCAAAUAAAGGCUUGGCCGCGGCAUGAUGUCAUGCUGCGGAAUACGUCAGCAGAUUAGAUUUGUACGAAUAUUAUUCUCUCUACGGUGGUAUGUGGAACUUAUUUUGCAGAGCCGGACACUAUCCUUGUGUUCAACAUCUUCUAUGAAGUAUUCGGAGGAGGAACCCGCCUUGCAAUGCCGAAGACAAUUUGCGCGCCGGACUCAUCAUCAUUGAAGCCUGGUUCAGGGGCUACUGAGGGAGUCCCGGAUUAGGGGGUGUCCGGAUGGCCGGACUAUGACCUUUGGCUGGACUCUCGGACUAUGAAGAUACAAGAUUGAAGACUUCGUCCCGUGUCCGGAUGGGACUUUCCUUGGCGUGGAAGGCAAGCUUGGCGAUACGGAUAUGUAGAUCUCCUCCCAUUGUAACCAACUCUGUGUAACCCUAACCCUCUCUGGUGCCUAUAUAAACCGGAGGGUUUUAGUCCGUAGGACGAACAACAAUCAUACCAUAGGCUAGCUUCUAGGGUUUAGCCUCUCUGUUCUCGUGGUAGAUCUACACUUGUACUACCCAUAUCAUCAAUAUUAAUCAAGCAGGAAUAGGGUUUUACCUCCAUCGAGAGGGCCCAAACCUGGGUAAAAACAUCGUGUCCCUUGUCUCCUAGUACCAUCCUCCUAGACGCACAGUUCGGGACCCCCUACCCGAGAUCCGUCGGUUUUGACACCGACACCCUCCUUCCCCCGCCCUUCCCUCCUCCGAUCCCACCGGCCUCCUCCCCCUCCUCCUCUCUCCUUCCUCCUCCCUCCAUCUUUUCUUUUUCUGUUUUUCACUGUAGUUUUUUACUAUUGUAUAAUGUAGUUUUUUUACUGUUUUUAGUAAGUGUUUAAAAUAAUUAGUAAGUAAAUUAAUAAACUAGUUGAACUAGUUUAGUUUUAGUAAGAACUAGUUGAAUUAAUAGAACUAAUGUAUUUUUAGUAAGAAAAUUAAUAUAACUAGUUGAACUAGUUUAUUUUUAGAAAGAACUAGUUUAUUUCUAUUUAUAGUAAGUUUAUUUUUAGUAAGAACUAGUUGAAUUAAUAGAACUAGCUGAACAUGUCACAUUUUUUUUAAUUUAAGCAAUUAUUCCCGCAUCGACGUCGAUGAUGCCUAUCCCGCAUCCUCGUCGUCGAUACCCAUCGUUCACUAGGGUUUUAGUUGUAUUAGUGAUGUUAUAUGUAUUAUACUAUUCGAGAUGUAUUAGUGAUAACUUAUAGGGUUUUUGUUUUUGCAGAAAUCAAGGAGCCCCUCCAUCAUCCCCGCCGUCGUCCCCAUCACCGACCCCCUCCGACCUCAAGGCGAGACCAACCAAAUCUCCAUGUCAAUAUGAGUCCUAUAAGACAUGAUGUAGAUAAAAACAUGUAUAUCUUGUGUUGCUCAAAUAGGAUAUGUGGUUGCCCAAGUGGCCGGUCAUGUUUGCAGGUUACACCUCCGAGUGUCCUAUGUUUUGCCGGAGUGUUGAUUAAUUUCCAUUCCGGCAAAUUUCAGGCCCUCGAUAUGUCCUGUUUUGGCAAAGGUCAUGCCGGAAUUUUCCUUUAAUUUUGGGAUGACUUGUGCUAGAAUAUGUAGGAAAUAUCGAGUGGCCUGGAUUUUCUAGAAAGAUAAUUAAACGAUAUUUCAGGUUGACUUUAAGACUGUCGAGGCCGAAGAAUCCCGACUGUUGUCGUGGGGGUCGUUUCUCCUUCUUCUCCAGGUGCUAGACCUUUGUUAUGCACUAGGGGAAGGAGGAGUAACGACCAUCACUGACGGUCGCAAAUGUCAGAGAGGAAUCAGUGAGGGAGAGUAUCCACCAUAUAUGAGAGGACGAAGAAUCCCGAAUGUUGUCGUGGGGUUAGCUUCUCCUUCGUUCCCAUGUGCCAGACAAUUUGGUGUAAUGCACUCGGGAACGAAAGGAGGAGCUACCAUCUCCGACGGUCGAAUAUAUACAACACGUGAGAUGAGAGUUUUCAAGAAAAGACUUGAAAGACCGAUAGUCAACCCGUGAUGAAUAAUAAUGAUCUAAUUUAGUUUUUGUAGUACAUAUAUUUAAUUGUACAAGUUUAAUCUUUGAAUUCUGAACAUAGGAAAUGUCGUCGGACAAAGAAGGUCCCGGGGAGUGCUCCUAGUGCGGCGACAAUCGGGGUUUCUGCGACAGGCCUCACCUGGACGAAGGUCGGCGCUUCAGCAUUAAGCUCGAGGAGGCCUUCGAUUGUGAAAUGGUACGGUACGACGCAAAGGUUUUUUUCAUAAUUAAUCUGGACUUCUACUACUUCAACGUGUAAUUUUCGUAUUUUACAAUUCGACUAGCUUAUCUCAUGCCAUGCAAGACGCUAUGUCUUGGAGAGGAUGGGUUUUGAAGAUCAGGAGAGGAAUGAAACAACGAAAAUUAACCUAAGGACCCAUCAUGGUAUGGAUUUUGAGGUAAAUCUAUACAAUUCUGAGAGCGUAUCCCGUUUUGGUUUCCCGGGUUGGGAAGCACUUUGCAAGAUGUAUGAUUUUCAAGAGGGUAUGUUUGUCACCAUGGAUCUUGGUGAUCCUCACAUCGACCAAGACAAUUUGGACAUUUGGGUCCUUGUUGAUACGCUUCCAAUUCUACCGCUAUGUGAGUUCCUCGAACAUAGUUAUUAAGUAAUUUAUAUUGUUUAUUUCAAAAUAGUUGAAAGCUUAUUUCCAUUGAUAGCUUACUUUCAUUCUUCAAAGAGUGUGUGGAAGAUGGUAGACAGAACCAACUACACUGAUGGCUCUAAGUUAACUUAUCAUGAGAAAAAUCAUCUGGUCACAUCUUGUACUCAAAUUUAGAAUUACAAUGCCUUUUAUAGAACUCCUCCAAAUUAUGGUCAAUACGUGCCACUAGUGCACGUGUUGAACCACGAUAACUUCCAUGGAGAUAUCCUGGUAAGAUUUUUUACUAUUAGGACAUCCGUGCAUCUUUUGCAUACUUCUAAAACUGAACUACAUUGCUAACUACGAAGUUAUUACUAUGUUUUUCAACAGAAAAUCCCGAUGGAUUGUGUGCCUCAUUUGAUGUAUCAGAAUGGUCGCCUUGAUGUUUUGAACAUACAACUAGGUCGUCCUACGAAUCUCACCUGUCCAUACCGGAUUUCUAAAAAGGUGAACACAUGAUAAUCAAAUAAUGGAAAAAAUGUAUGGACAGGCGUAAGGAGGUUCUUGGAAGCAACAUUGUGUGAAAGGCAAGAAUUGGAGACAUGAUAAUCUCCAUUCUCCAUAAUGGAGAGUCAGGGGCUAUCUUGUUUUAUGCUAUUUUACCUAAGAUAAUAUAGUAGGUCCUAAGAGAAUGUAGUAGGUCCUAUGAGGUACAAUAUGUUUAUGAGAGUUGAUGAUGAUGAGUAGUUGUGAUUAUGUCUAGUGACCAACUUGUAUGUGAUGUCUCAUUGGUGAAAAUGAUGAUCAUGAGGAGGUGUUAUAUGACAAUGAUGUAUUAUGAUGAUAAGUUGUUAAUGAUAUGAUGAUUAUGAUGAUAUUUAUUAUAUCAUUGGGUGAAACAACCGCAGAUUAGUUUCAAGUGGAUGUCCAUCCACUUGAAACUAGUCCACGGUUCUUUUUCCCCAGUGAUGUAAUAACUCAUUAUGAUGUAAAAUCAUUCUCUAAAUUGAUGCGGUAUGAAAACUUGUAUAAAGGUGUAUGAAUACAACAUGAAAUAAAAAAGAAAUACGGAAUAAUAGUAGUAGCGCGUGCUAGGAGAAGCGCUACUACUAAUUACCAGUAGCGCUCAUAGUAGAAAGCGCUGCUACUAAGUCGAUAUAGCAGUAGCGUGGUCCAACCCACACUACUGCUAACCUUUAGCUGUAGCGCCUUACAAGUAGCGCGGCUCCCCGCGCUACUGAUAGGCUUUAAACACGCGCUACUGCAGGGUUUUCCCUAGUAGUGUACGUUCGGUACUCGACCGGUCGGAACGAGAAGACGUUCGACUACAUCAACCGCAUUGAGCAAAUGCUUCCGCUUUCGGUCUACGAGGGUACGUGGACACACUCUCCCCCUCUCGUUGCUAUGCAUCUCCUAGAUAGAUCUUGCGUGAGCGUAGGAACUUUUUGAAAUUGCAUGCUAUGUUUCCCAACNNNNNNNNNNCCCCUUCGACUCUGACUACUCGUUGCCUGGCUUCUCCGACUUUGAUCUCGAGUAGAGCUUCAUUAUGAGAGUAGUCUAGCUAGAUAGUUUGAUAUCGCUAUAGAGUUGAUGUAGUAGGUAAUGGACUGUAUUAGUGACUGUACUAUUUAAUUAAGAUUUGUACGAUGUUAAUGUGGUACCAUGAUCUACUUAUGCAAUGAAGUAUUUAUCAGUGCUUGUGCAUAUGGUAUAUGCUUGCGUAUGUGAUAUGUGCCACGACAACUCCUUUUUCACGUUUCUUCUUAUUUGAUUUGUUUAAUUCAAAGACAUUAGGGAUGAAGAUUUUUGUUACAACCUAUUUUUUCCUUAAAUUUUGGAUGUGAACAUAGAAGCAUAUGCACUCAUGAUUUACCUUGCAUAUUUGGUUUUUGAAACUAGCGAGACCAACAUUGAAUUCAAAUUCAAUUUUGAGUUUAUUUGGAGGUCAUGAAAGUUUCACCAAAAAAUGAUUUUCAAAAAACUUGCAUAAGGGAAGGAUUUUUUUCCUAAGAUUAAUAUUUUCCCUAUUUAUUUUGUGUUAACCAAGGUUUGAAAAUGGUUUAAUUUGGGAAAUUAAACUAUGAUUAAAUCUUGGAUAAGAUAAACAAAACAGAAAACGGAAAAAGAAAAGAAAUAACUUUGCAAAUAGGCCCACUAAUUAUGACAAAAAUAGUUUGUCAAAAUCCUUUGAGAAAAAUUUAAAGCUGCUAGGAAUAUUUCCAAAGGAUUUUAGGAAGAAUUUUCUUUUUGAAGAAAAUUCAAUUUUACAUUCAGAUGUGAAAACAGAGAGGAAACCAGAAAUAGAAAAAGAAAAAAGAAAAAAUGGGCGAGGCCAGCCAGCCAACCGGGCCAAGCGCGGCCCAGCUAGCCAGCCGGCCUAGCCCCCCAUCCUCUCUCUCUCCCCCCACUGAUGAGCGGGCCCCGCGCGUUUACAUCACCUCCAACCUCCCGCAACCGCCACUCGCGCCCACACCCUGAACGUGCACGCACCCACGACCUCCACUCCGCGUGGCCACCGUGCUCGCCAGUGCCACCUAACCUGUCCUAUAAAUAGCCCUGGACCCCCUCUUCCGAAUCCCCAACCUUAUUUCACCCGAGUGCCAUUAGGCUGCUCGCAACGCUGUCGUCCUCUACGCCUCGGCAGAGAGAUCGCUAACAAGAUUUCGACGAGCCCCGACCCCCUCGCGACCACCUAGCCGCACCACAAGAACCAUCGCUCCAUGAAGAACCACCUAGACACCCUCUGCACACCCAGAUCCCUCAACAUCGAUGAUUUUGUCGGAGCCUGAAGCUCAGUGCCGCCACCGUCGUCUUUUUGGUGAGCUCCUCCAUCCAUUUGGUGGUGCACCUUGUGCAAACGACACCCCGCGCUCUUGUUGAUCUCUCUGAGCUUUUGGUUCACCUUGUUUCGCCCAGAAUCAAGCUCACAAUCACCACCCAAAGCUCCUCAUCGUUGUUCUCAACUCCGGCAACCCUACACCGUCGCCUCCAUCCACCCCGGCACCAACCGAGGCCACCAGGAGCCCUGCUGUCAUUGUCUGCAUCCGUCUGACCACCUCGCAGCUGCCAGGGAGCACUGGAGCAUCGAGUUCAUCCACACCCGAGCCGCACCUGAGUUUUCCGGUGAGUCUAUGGACCUAGCCACCACGGUGAGCCUCGAUCUGUUCUGGACCGCCCGCUCUUGAUCCAACACGUAGAAUAUAUCACGCUUUAAUUUAAAUUCUGAAAUGGUAUCAACCAAUCAGAGAGUGCCACAUAGCCAACCAUAUCCGAAACAUUAUCCAGAACAAAUUCGUUAAUUAAAAAGAAAAGAUAGUUUUGCAAAAAAGCCCCUAGACCUUGAGACUAUCAUAACUAAUUAUCCAGAUGUCCAGAUUGAGUGAUUCUUUUUUUAAAUAAAACCUUAAGAAUAAUUCUAGAAAAAUUAAAUUUUAAAUUUCAAAAUUUUAAUUUCAAACAGAAUAGUUUAAACACUAAAUAUCGCAUGACUUUUAAAAUAUAGAACCAAACUAGGUGAUUCUUUUUGCAUUUUGAAGAUAGAGAAUUGUAGUUCAAUUUAGUCCACUGUUAGUUAAAAUAUAAAAAAAAUGUAAAUUAAUUUUUGGACAGAAACUUAGCAACACUAGUUUCACAUUCAUUUGAAUCUAUUGGUGAAAUAAAAUUUGUAUAAUAAACCAAAUUGAAUUAGUAUAAACCAUAGACUUGUUCGAAACAUAAUAGGGCAUUAAAUAAAAAUGAUAUGAAAAUAAAUUUGAAUCAUGGUUUGAAUUAAUGGGAAUCCAAAGUAAUAAUGAUAAAACACUAGUUACUUUAUAAAUGAAAUUUAGUGGAAUAUUAAUGAGUUAAUUAAAACUAAUAAUUCAUUGGUGAUGACCCAGGAGAAAUAGACUUGAAACUAAAAGUGAAACUUAGGUCAAAUAAAUUCAAAUAGUGCAAGUCAAACCUCAAAUUCAAAUCUAAUUGCAUUAACAAGUGAGGGAUUUAAUUUAGUUAGGGUUCUUAAAUAUUGAACUAGGUUUGCCAAGUUGAACUUGUUAGGAAUUUGAACCAAGUCAACUAACCCUAGUUGAAUUGUGUGAUGAAGUCAAAUACCAAUCAAACUAGAAACACAAAUUGGGAAGACCAAACUGAAUGAAAUCAUACCAAACAAACCAACACCUUGUGAUGUGUCAUUUGUACCUUUGUAUUCAUGCAAGUUUUCCCUUUUCAUGAAUUGUGUGCUUAUGAUUACUAUGUGUUAUUUUUUGUCUAUGUUAGAUUACAAGGAGUGCAACCCCUGCGACUGUGUGGAGUGCACCGCUGAUAACAACAACAACCAAGGCAAGUUCCACUUUGACCAUGUACCUAGUAUUUUAUUGCAUUGUCGUUUUGCCAUGAUAAGUGUGUGAGUUUAGGAUGCUAACUAAUAUACCACCUCAUAGUUGACAACAUAGGUCCAAUCAUACCCUGACCUUGUAACUGCUACUUGUGAGCUGCGUUGGGAUUUCCUCGAAGAGGAGAGGAUGAUGAAAUACAGUAGAGAUAAGUAUUUCCAUCAAUUAAGAACCAAGGUUAUCAAUCCAGUAGGAGAACCACGCAAUACCUCGUUAGCAGCACCUACACACAAAAUAACAAAUACUUGCACCCAAUGCAAACAAGGGGUUGUCAAUUCCUUGGCGGUUAAUUGCAAGGACCAAAUCUCGUAGUGAUAGAUAGAUAAACAAACACAAAAAUAACAAAUACUUGCACCCAACACAAAUAAGGGGUUGUCAAUCCAUUGGUAGUUAAUUGCAAGGAUCAAAUCUCGUAGUGAUAGAUAGAUAAGCAAAAACACAAAAUAAAAUAAAGUAAAUAAAAUUGAAGCAAGGUUUUUUUGGAUUUUAAUGUAUGAUAAAAAUAGACCCAUGGGCCAUAGUUUUCACUAGAGGCUUCUCUCUUGAAAAUAAUAUAGGUGGGUGAACAAAUUACUGUUGGACAAUUGACAGAAAAGCAAAUAAUCACGACGAUAUCCAAGGCAAUGAUCAUGUAUAUAGGCAUCACGUCGGAGACAAGUAGACUAACUCCUGCCUGCAUCUACUACUAUUAUUCCACACAUCGACCACUAUCCACCAUGCAUCUAAGUACUAAGUUCAUAAAGAAUAGAGUAACACCUUAAGCAAGAUGACCUGAUGUAGACAAAGUAAACUCAAGCAAUAUGAAUAAACCCCAUCAUUUUAUCCUUAAUGGAAACAAUACACAUAUUGUUUUGUCCCCUUUUAUCACUGGGAUAUAGACCACCGCAAGAUUGAAUCCAUCACAAAGAACCUCUCCCAUUGCAAGAUAAAUCAAUCUAGUUGGCCAAACCAAAUCAAAAGGUCGGUGAGAAAUACAAAGCUAUAACAAUCAUGCAUAAAAUAGUUUAGAGAAGACUCAAAUAAUAUUCAUGGAUAAUCAUAUCUUAGUUUAGAGAAGACUCAAAUAAUACUCAUGGAUAAUCUUAAACUCACAAUUCAUCGGAUCCCAACAAACACACCGCAAAAAAGGAUUACAUUGAAUAGAUCCCCAAGAACAUUGAGGAGAACAUUAUAUUGAAGAUCAAAGAGAGAGAGAAGAAGCCAUCUAGCUACUAGCCAUGGACCAGUAGGUCUGUGAUAAACUACUCACACAUCAUCGGAGGGGCAACAAGGUUGAUGUAGAAGCCCUCAGUGAUCGAUCCCCCCUUCGGAAGAGUGCCGGAAAAGGCCUUUAGAUGGGAUCUUGUGAGAACAGAAACUUGCGGCGGUGGAAAAAUUGUUUUGGGUGCCUCUCUAUUGGUUUCCCGAUUUUAGAGAAUUUAUAGAGUAUGAGUUAUGCCAAGUAGAGCAAAGGUGGGCCCAUGAGGCACCAGGGCGCUCCUACCCCCUGGGCACGCCCUGGUGGCUCGUGGUUACCUCCUUCACCUUCUAACAUCCUCCUGAAGCUUCUACUGUCUCUUAUGUCCAUAAAAAAUCAUCAAAAAGUUCCAUGGUGUUUGGACUUCAUUUGGUACUAGUUUCUGGGAAAACCAAAAACAUGCAAAAAACAGCAACCAACACUUGGCACUAAGUCAAUAGGUUAGUCCGAAAAAAUGAUAUAUAAUUGCAUAUAAAACAUCCAAGAUUGAUACUAUAAUAACAUGGUACAAUAAAAAUUAUAGAUACGUUGGAGGCGUAUCAGUAGCCAUCGAGUAGUUUCAUAACUGCUAUACCGUGGAUUGGGAAACAUCAAUUAUUCCACCAUACAACCUCAUGGUUGACUACUUAACUACAACUUAACUAAUGAAUCAAUCUGGGUGGACUGUGUUUGAUUGGGUCAUCGGAGUGUAGUCAUUGGUGGGGAAUGCUAGCCAGGUAUCAAAGGGAUUGUAUGGGUUCAAAGUUGAGUAGCUUCCAUGUGUAACCGUGAGACAAUAUGGGCUCUGUCUGGACAAAGUAAGUUGUGUGAACCCUCCUGGGCAUGACCCAUAGAUGUAGGUGUGUAGGUUGGAAUGGGUCUACCAUUUUAGAGAGGGCUACUACUUCCCAAAAGUCUCAUCUUGAUCUACCUAGCUAUUUCACAUGUGAAGUUUAGUAGUAGGAAGGUGUGACCGGGAAUCACAGGUAAAGUACACAAACCUCUGCAGAGUGUAUAAAAUGAUCAUGAUUAGCCAUGUCUCUAGUUACAGACAAUUUUGAGCAAUGCAUCGGAGAAUUGUCAUCUUGAUCUUAUCACCUCUUCUAAUAAAAUCAAUGGGUUGAACCAAAGGGGAGUAUGGAGCCAGUCUCAAAGGACUGGGGGUACCAGGGUCUCUGGAGAAAGGCUCGGGGCAACUGUGCGAUGCGGAAGCCCACAUACUAAAACAACAUUAUGGAUGGCCGCGUGAUACAAUUUGUCUAGGAAUGUUGUGUGAUAUUUGAUGACCCACAAGUAUAUGGGGUCAAUUGUAGCCUUUUCGAUAAGUAAGAGUGUCGAACCCAACGAGGAGCAGAAGGAAAUGACAAGUGGUUUUCAGCAAGGUAAUGUCUGCAAGUGCUAAAAUUAUAAGUAACAGAGUUUGAUAGCAAGAUAAUUUGUAACGAGCAAGUAACGGCAGUAGUAACAAAAGUGCAGCAAGGUAGCCCAAUACUUUUGAGUCAAAAGACAUGCCAAAGCUGUCACUUAUGAUAAUCAAAGUGUUCUCGAGGGUACACGGGAAUUUCAUCUAGUCACUUUCAUCAUGUUGGUUCGAUUCAUGUUCGCUACUUUGAUAAUUUGGUAUGUGGGUGGACCAGUGCUUUGGUGAUGUUCUUACUUGAACAAACCUCCUACUUAUGAUUAACCCCCUCGCAAGCAUCCGUAACUACAAGAAAAGUAUUAAGAAUAAAUUCUAACCAUAGCAUUAAACUUUUGGAUCCAAUCGGUCCCUUACAAAAUAGCGCAUAAACUAGGGUUUAAGCUUCUAUCACUCUCGCAACCCAUCAUCUAAUAACUACUCCACAAUGCAUUCCCUUAGGCCCAAAUAUGGUGAAGUGUCAUGUAGUCGACAUUCACAUGACACCACUAAGGGAAUCACAACAUACAUAUCAUCAAAAUAUCGAACACAUAUCAAGUUCACAUGAUUACUUGCAAAAUGAUUUCUCCCAUGACCUAAAGAACAAAAGUAACUACUCAUAAAUGAUAAUCAUCCUCAAGAUCAGAGGGGUAUUAAAUAGCAUAAUGGAUCUAAACAUAUAAUCUUCCAUCAAAUAAACCAUAUAGUAAUCAACUACAAGAUGUAAUCAACACUGCUAGUCACCCACAAGCACCAAUAUAUAGUUAUGGUAUAAAGAUUGACCACAAGAGAUGGAGUAUGGUUUGAGAGGAGUUGGUGCUGUUGAAGAUGAUGAUGGAGAUAGCCCUCCCCAAGAUGGGAGAGUUGUUGGUGAUGAUGAUGACGAUGAUUUCCCCCUCCAGGAGGGAAGUUCCCCCGGCAGAAUCGCUCCACAGGAGGGCAAAAGUGCCCCUACCCAAGUUCCGCCUCGAGACAGCGGCGCUUCGUCCCGAAAGUCCUCCCCUUAUUUUUUCUAGGUCAAAAUGACUUAUGUACCAGAAGAGGGGCACCGGAGGUGGGCCUGGGUGAGCACAACCCACCAAGGCGCGCCUGGGCUCCCUGGCGCGCCCAGGUGGGUUGUGCCCACCUGGUGGGCCCCCUCUGGUACUUAUUGGGUCCAAAAAAACCUCAUUUAUUCCAUAAAAAUUCCUUGUAAAGUUUCAGCUCAUUUGGAGUUGUGCAGAAUAGGUAGCCUGACGUAGCUUUUUCAGGUCCAGAUUUCCAGUUGCCAGAAUUCUCCCCCGUUGUGCAUACCUUGCAUAUUUUAAGAGAAAAGGCAUUAGAGUUACUCCAAAAAGCAUUAUUAUGCAAUAAAACAACAUAAAUAACAAUAGGUAAACAUGAUGCACAAUGGACGUAUCAACUUCCCCAAGCUUAGACUUCGCUUGUCCUCAAGCGAAAACCGAAAUCGAAAAACAUGUCAUGCUUAGAGAGAGAGAGAGAGAGUGGUGUCGAUAAAAAAAAAUACAGACAUAGCAGCAUCAUGUAACUUAUUAUAACAACUAAAAACUUUAACAUAAAACUUUUAUCAUAGAACUUUUAUCACAGACUUCUCAUGAAUAAGUAACAAUUCAUCAGAACACCGAAGUAUAAAGUAUAAACUCUAUUGGAAACCAACAAACGAUGUUCUCAGUCAACUUUGCAACUACAAUUCAUCAUCUUUUCAGGAAGGGUCACGUAUCGGAGCCUUUAGUCAAGUCCACAUACUCAACCAUCAUUUAGUCUUCUAUGAUUGCUAAUACUCACCGCGUACACAUGAGCAAAACGUUUCAACUGGACACAUAGAAAGAUAGGGGCUUAUAGUUUCGCCUCCCAACGUAUUCACCUCAAGGGUGAUGUCAACAAUAAUAACUCAUGCUACCCAUAUUCAACUGGAUAUAUAUGCCUAGAUCUUUCCUCACCACAUGAUGCUUGCCAAAGGACAAAAUAAAAAGGAAUAGAGAGAAGAACUUUGACUCUUGCAUGAAAGUAAAUACAUAAAAGUAAAAGAUAGGCCCUUCGCAGAGGGAAGCAGAAGUUGCCAUGCGCUUUUUUUGUAUGCUCAACCCCUUAGUGUAAGAGAACGUCACGUUAUAUUGCACCUUAUGAUGGCAACCUUUAUUAUGCAGUCUGUUGCUUUUAUUUUCUUCACUAUCAUAAGUUCGUACAAUACUCAAUUUUCUCUUACACUAAAUGAUCUAACACUUUUAGAUGCAAUUUUUAUUACCUUUUUGCAAUGAUGAAAACUUACUUGAAGGAUCUUACUCAAUCCAUAGGUAGGUAUGGUGGACUCUCAAAACAAGAUUUGGGUUUAAGGGUUUUGGAUGCAUAAGUAGGAUCUCUACUUAGUGUGGAAUUUUUGGCUAGCAAAGGUAGGGGCAAACACCACAUGUUGAAGGAUCUAUGACAAUAUAACUUCUAUGUGAAUAUGAGCAAACAUAAAUCAUUAUGUUCUCUUCCUUGUCCAAUGUCAACAAUUUUGGCAUAUAAUAUUUUGAUGGGUGCUCACAAUCACAAAACAUUUCCAAGAUAGUGUAUUUGCAUGUGAAUCUUCUCUUCCCUUAUUAAUUCUUUCAUGAGUUGCAUCAUUGACUAAUGCUAUGUUUGUCAAUCUACAAUAAAAUUUUCUACUUGUACUUUUCCUUGUGUAAUGUCAUCACUUACCAUAAGAUUAACAUAUGAUAUUUUUCAUUUAUUUCCUUUCUUUUUAUUGAAAACUGAAAGUAAAAGAGGCAAAACUCAAACUAAACUUCAUUAUAUAUCUCACACACGAUUACAGCGAUAGAUCACUAAGCAAACUCUCAAAAAGAAAGGAUCGAACUAAACUUUUAUUCAUCGAAAGCAAAAGAUAACAAUGGAUCAAACUAAGAAAAGUAAAGGCAAAAGAUAGUGGAGGUGCUACGAUACCGAGGCACAUCCCCCAAGCUUGGCGAAAGCCAAGGGGAGUGCCCAUACCCGAUACUCAAUUUUCUUUUGGUGAUGAAGAAGGAGGUGGUUGUGAUGAAGUAGUAGUGACCCUGUCCUUAAGGACCAAGAGAUUCUCCAAUCUACAAAUGACGCUCCGGGGGAAGGUGAUGUGCUCUUGAUGCAGAAUAUUUUCACGAGUGAGAUACUUAUUUUGUAUAUGGACCGUUUGAAUGAUCCUGAAGGCUGCAAUGUCAGCAGGGGUAAGAUGAGCAUAGUAUGGUUUAAGGAUAUCUUCCUCUUCCUCCUCGGCAGGCAGAGCUUGCUCGAUCAGCGACACUUGAUCUCCGGUGGCCUCCUUGCUCUUGUCCUCCUUGGUUGCUCCAAGGGGCUCUUCCCUCUUCAGCUCGAUCUUCAUUAACCAAGCAUCCUCUUCCACAUUGUUAGAGGAAGAAGAAGACAUGAUGCCUGGCUCAACAGAUCUGACAGAAAACAACGAGAAAAGAAAACAGGAGAUUUCUCCGUGAUACAGAGGUCAACAGGUUCGGGGAGUAUAUAAAUAUUUUUUAUCUUGGCAAACAAGGAAAAUGGAGUCCGGAAGGUACCUGAGGUGGGCACAACCCACCUAGGCGCGCCUGGCAGCCAGGCACGCCCUGGUGUCUUGUGCCCACCAGGGUCACCUUCCUGGUAGUUUCUUAUUUUCCUAAAUUUUUAAAUAUUCCAAAACUGACAAAAAAUAUUUUUGCGGAUUUUUCGAAGUUCGUUUACUUACCGUAUCACGUACCUCCUCUUUUUCACGAUUCUGGAGUGUUUCGGAAGGUUUCUUUUAUGUGUUCUUCCGGUGUCAUAGUUUGGAUAAUAUUGCUUUCAACAUUAAUGGGUGUACCUGAUAUAUAAUGUUUUAUUCAUUGCCCAUUAACAGCCUUCGGGUUAGUACCUUCGACAUUGUUUAUUUUGAUAGCUCCAGAUCGAUAAACCUCCUCGAUAACAUAGGGUCCUUCCCAUUUGGAGAGGAGUUUUCCUGCAAAGAAUCUGAAAUGAGAGUUGUACAAAAGAACAUAUUCUCCAACUUUCAACUCACGCUUUUGGAUUCUUUUGUCAUGCCAUCUUUUAACUUUUUCUUUGAAUAACUUUGCAUUUUGAUAAGAUUGGGUUCUCCAUUCAUCUAAUGAGCUAAUAUCAAAUAACCUCUUUUCACCAGCAAGUUUGAAAUCAUAGUUGAGUUCUUUAAUUGCCCAAUAUGCUUUAUGUUCUAACUCAAGAGGCAAAUGACAAGCUUUUCCAUAAACCAUUUUAUAAGGAGACAUACCGAUAGGAUUUUUAUAUGUUGUUCUAUAAGCCCAAAGUGCAUCAUCUAGUUUCUUAGACCAAUUCUUCCGGGGCCUAUUGACAGUCUUUUGUAAAAUUAGUUUUAUUUCUCUAUUGCUAAGUUCAACUUGACCACUAGACCGGGGAUGAUAGGGUUAUGCAAUUCUAUAGUUAACAUCAUACUUAGCAAGCAUUUUACAGAAAGCACCAUGAAUAAAAUGUGAACCAUCAUCAGUCAUUCAAUACCUGGGGACUCCAAACCUUGGGAAAAUAACUUCCUUAAGCAUUUUAAUAGAGGUGUUGUGAUCGACACUACUAGUUGGAAUAACUUCUAUCCACUUAGUAACAUAAUCAACAACAACCAAAAUAUGAGUAUACCCAUUAGAGGAAGGAAAAGGUCCCAUGAAAUCAAAUCCCCAAACAUCGAAUGGUUCAAUAGCAAGUGAAUAGUUCAUAGGCAUUUCUUGACGCUUACUGAUAUUACCUAUUCUUUGAAAUUCAUCACAAGAUAAGACGAACUUAUGGGCAUCCUUGAAGAGAGUAGGCCAAUAAAACCUAGAUUGCAAUACCUUAUGAGCGGUUUUGUCUCCCGCUUGAUGUCCUCCAUAAGCCUCAGAGUGACAUUCCGUAGGAUUUGUUCCUGUUCAUGCUCAUGUACACAACGUCUAAUAAUACCAUCUACUCCUUCUUUAUAAUGAUGUGGGUCAUCCCAAAAGUAAUGUCUUAAAUCAUAGAAGAUUUUUUAUUUUGUUGGUAUGUAAAGCUAGGUGGUAUGUAUUUAGCAACAGUAUAAUUAGCAUAGUCAGCAUACCAAGGUGUACUACUAGAAACAUUUAUUGCAGCUAAAUGUUCAUCAGGAAAGCUAUCAUUAAUAGGUUGUGGGUCAUUAAGAAUAUUUUCAAGCCUAGACAAGUUAUCAGCUAUGGGGUUCUCUGCUCCUUUUCUAUCAGUGAUAUGCAAAUCAAAUUCUUGUAGUAGAAGAACUCACCUAAUGAGUCUAGGUUUAGCAUCUUUCUUUUUCAUAAGAUAUUUUAUAGCAGCAUGAUUAGUGUGAACGGUCACUUUGGAAUUAACAAUGUAGGAUCUAAAUUUAUCACAAGCAAACACCACUACUAAGAAUUCUUUUUUAGUAGUAGCAUAAUUUCGUUGAGCACUGUCUAGAGUUUUACUAGCAUAAUGGAUAACAUUUAGUUUCUUAUCAACUCUUUGUCCUAGAACAGCACCAACAGCAUAAUCACUAGCAUCACACAUAAUCUCAAAAGACAAGUUCCAAUCAGGUGGUUGAACAACAGGUGCAGAAAUCAAGGCUUUUUUGGGUGUUUCGAAGGCUUCCAAACAAUCAUCAUCAAAAACAAAAGGAAUAUCCUUUUGCAAAAGAUUUUUAAGUGGCCUAGAAAUUUUAGAAAAGUCUUCGAUAAAUCUCCUAUAGAAACCCGCAUGACCAAGGAAACUAUGAAAACCUUUGAUAUCUUUAGGACAUGGCAUUUUCUCAAUUGCAUCAACCUUGGAUUUGUCCACCUCAAUGCCUCUUUUAGAAAUUUUAUGGCCCAAAACAAUACCUUCGUUAACCAUAAAGUGGCACUUCUCCCAAUUCAAGACAAAAUUUGUUUGCUCACAUCUCUGCAAAACUUGAUCAAGAUUGCUUAAACAAUUAUCAAAAGACUUCCCAUAAACAAAAAAGUUAUCCAGGAAAACCUCAACAAUCUUUUCACAAAAAUCAGAGAAUAUAGCAGUCAUACAUCUUUGAAAGGUAGCAGGUGCAUUGCAUAAACCAAAAGGCAUAUGUUUAUAAGCAUAAGUUCCAAAGGGACAAGUAAAAGUGGUCUUUUCUUGAUCAGUUUGAGAAACAGGUAUUUGUGAAAAACCAUAAUAUCCAUCAGGGAAGCAAAAAUGUGUGUGCUUAGAUAAUCUUUCUAGCAUUUGGUCAAUAAAAGGCAGAGGGUAAUGAUCUUUUCUAGUUGUUUUAUUUAAUUUUCUAAAAUAAAUUACCAUUCUAUAGCCUGUGACGAUUCUUUGUGGAAUAAGUUCAUUCUUAUCAUUAGGAACAACAGUUAUACCUCCCUUCUUAGGGACACAAUGAACAUGACUUACCCAUCUACUAUCAGCUAUAGGAUAGAUUAUAACUACUUCCAAAAAUUCCAAUAUUUCCGUUCUUACCACUUCUUUCAUCUUCAGAUUUAACGGACGUUGGUGAUCAACAAUGGGUUUAGCAUCAGGUUCCAGUAAUCUUGUGCUGACAUAGAGUGGGACUAAUGCCCUUAAGAUCAUCAAGAGUAUAUCCAAUAGAAGCUCGGUGCUUCCUUAGAACUUUCAAUAAUCUUUCUUCUUCAUGUUCUGAAAGGUUAGCACUAAUAAUAACAGGAUACAUCUUUUUCUCAUCAACAUAAGCAUAUUUCAAAGUGUCUGGCAAUUGUUUUAAUUCAAACACAGGAUCACCUUUAGGUGGAGGAGGACCUCCUAGAGUUUCAAUAGGAAGACUGUGUUUAAGCAGAGGUUGUUGUUCGAACAACAUUCUAUCAAUUUCAUUUCUUUCAUACAUAUGCAAAUCAUUUUCAUGGUCUAGCAAAUAUUGUUCUAAAGGAUUAGUAGGAGGUACAACAAUAGAAGAAAGACCAAUAAUUUCAUCCUUACUAGGCAAAUAUUUCUUAUGAGGUUUUCUACUAAACUUGGAAAAAUUAAAUUCAUGAGAUUCAUCCCCAAAGCUAACACUGACAAUUUGUUUCUCACAAUCUAUUUUAGCAUUGACAGUGUUCAAGAAAGGUCUACCAAAGAUAAUGGGACAAAAGUCAUCUUGUGGGGAACCAAGAACAAGAAAAUUAGUAGGGUCUUUAAUUGUCCCACACAAGAUUUCAACAUAUCUAACAAUCCCAAUUGGUGAUAUAGUAUCUCUAUUGGCAAGUUUAAUAGUAACAUCUAUGUCUUCUAUUUCAGCUGGUGCUAUAUCAUUCAUAAUUUCUUCAUAUAAGGAAAAAGGAAUAGCACGCACGCUAGCACCUAAGUCACAUAAACCAUGAUAACAAUGAUCUCCUAUCUUAACCGAGACAACAGGCAUGCCAACAACUGGUCUAUGUUUAUCUUUUUCAUCGGGUUUGGCAAUUCUACUAGCUUCAACACAGAAGUAAAUAACAUGCCCAUCAAUAUUAUCGACCAAGAGAUCCUUAACCAUAGCAACACUAGGUCCAACUUUGAUUUUUAGCCGGUUUAGGUGUUCUAAUAUAACUUUUGUUGACCAUAGUUGAAACUUUAGCAUGUUUCUUCAUCCUAACAGGGAAAGGUGGUUUUUCAAUAUAAGCAGUGGGAACAACUGGGUCAACAUUAUAAAUGAUAGUUUCUUGUUUAGCUUUUACCGGUUCAUUAAUUUCUUCUUUAAUUGGUGGGUGAUAUUUGAACCACUUCUCCUUAGGGAGAUCAACAUGAGUAGCAAAAGAUUCACAAAAGGAAGCUACUAUCUUAGAGUCAAGUCCAUAUUUAGUGCUAAACUUUUGAAAAGCAUCGCUCUUCAUAAAAGAUUUAACACAAUCAAACUUAGGCUCAAUAACCAACUCUUUACCUUCGUCAAGUUCCCAAUCUUCAGAGUUGAGUUUAAUUCUUUCUAAAAGAUCCCACCGGAAUUCAAUAGUCUUCUUCAUAAAAGAACCAGUAGAAGAAGUAUCAAGCAUGGAUUGAUCAUUACGAGAAAGCCGAGCAUAAAAAUUCUGAAUAAUAAUUUCUCUCGAGAGAUCAUGAUUGGGGCAUGAAUAUAACAUUGACUUAAGACCCCCCCAAGCUAGAGCGAUACUUUCUCCUUCAAGAGGCCAAACAUUAUAUAUAUAAUUCUGGUCACGAUGAACUAGAUGCAUAGGAUAAUUUUCUUGAUGGAAUUCCAAUUUCAAUCGAUUCCAGUUCCAAGAUCCAAUAUCAUUGCAUAGCCUAUACCAAGUCAAUGCCUUUCCCUUCAAAGAUAAAUGGAAAACCUUCUUCUUAGCUUCAUCUCCGGGCAAACCUGCAAGCUUGAACAAUCCACAAAUUUCAUCCACAUAUAUUAAGUGCAUAUCAGGAUGUUCGGUUCCAUCUCCUGCAUAAGGAUUAGCCAACAAUUGUUCUUCCAUACCCGAAGGAAUUUCAUAUUCAAUAUUUUCAGUAGGUGCAGUAGGUUGAGGGGCAACUAAUUGUGGUUCCGGUCGAGGUGAAGAUACCCCAAACAAACCCCUCAAAGGAUUAUUUUCCAUAGUAACAAGCGACAAUAAAUUUCAGCACGUAGUAAUAUUUUUUCCUUACCAAUUUACACUUACCAAUAGCACUGCACUCCCCGGAAAUGGCACUAGAAAAUGGCCUUGAUGACCCACAAGUAUAUCGGGUCAAGUGUAGCCUUUUCGAUAAGUAAGAGUGUCGAACCCAACGAGGAGCAGAAGGAAAUGACAAGUGGUUUUCAGCAAGGUAAUGUCUGCAAGUGCUAAAAUUGUAAGUAACAGAGUAGUUUGAUAGCAAGAUAAUUUGUAACGAGCAGGUAACGGUAGUAGUAACAAAAGUGCAGCAAGGUAGCCCAAUCCUUUUGAGGCAAAGGACAGGCCAAAACGGUCUCUUAUGAUAAGCAAAGUGUUCUUGAGGGUACACGGGAAUUUCAUCUAGUCACUUUCAUCAUGCUGGUUCGAUUCAUGUUCGCUACUUUGAUAAUUUGGUAUGUGGGUGGACCGGUGCUUAAGUGUUGUUAUUACUUGAACAAACCUCCUACUUAUGAUUAACCCCCUCGCAAGCAUCCGCAACUACGAGAAAAGUAUUAAGAAUAAAUUCUAACCAUAACAUUAAACUUUUGGAUCCAAUCGGUCCCUUACAGAAUAGCGCAUAAACUAGGGUUUAAGCUUCUGUCACUCUCGCAACCCAUCAUCUAAUAACUACUCCACAAUGCAUUCCCUUAGGCCCAAAUAUGGUGAAGUGUCAUGUGUUCGACGUUCACAUGGCACCACUAAGGGAGUCACAACAUACAUAUCAUCAAAAUAUCGAACACAUAUCAAGUUCACAUGAUUACUUGCAACAUGAUUUCUCCCGUGACCUCAAGAACAAAAGUAACUACUCAUAAAUGAUAAUCAUGCUCAAGAUUAGAGGGGUAUUAAAUAGCAUAAUGGAUCUGAACAUAUAAUCUUCCACCAAAUAAACCAUAUAGUAAUCAACUACAAAAUGUAAUCAACACUACUAGUCACCCACAAGCACCAAUCUAUAGUUCCAGUACAAAGAUUGAACACAAGAGAUGAACUAGGGUUUGAGAGGAGUUGGUGAUGUUGAAGAUGUUGAUGGAUAUAGCCUUCCCCGAGAUGGGAGAGUUGUUGGUGAUGAUGAUGAUGAUGAUUUCCCCCUCCGGGAGGGAGGUUCCCCCGGCGGAAUCGCUCCGCCAGAGGGCAAAAGUGCUCCUGCCCAAGUUCCGCCUCGAGACGGUGGAGCUUCAUCCCGAAAGUCCUCCCCUUAUUUUUCUAGGUCAAAAUGACUUAUGUACCAGAAGAGGGGCACCGGAGGUGGGCCUGGGUGAGCACAACCCACCAGGGCGUGCCUGGGCUCCCUGGCGUGACCAGGUGGGUUGUGCCCACCUGGUGUGCCCCCUCUGUUACUUAUUGGCUCCAAAAAUCCUCAUUUAUUCCAUAGAAAAUCCUCGUAAAGUUUUAGCUCAUUUGGAGUUGUGCAGAAUAGGUAGCGUGACGUAGCUUUUUCAGGUUUCCAGCUGCCAAAAUUCUCCCCCUUUGUGCAUACCUUGCAUAUUAUAAAAAAAAGGCAUUCAAAUUACUCCAAAAGCAUUAUUAUGCAAUAAAACAACAUAAAUAAUAGUAGGUAAACAUGAUGCAAAAUGGAUGUAUCAAUAUUGUAUGUCCAGCUGUUAGAGUAGACCACUACUAAAUAAAUAGGGAAAACUAUAUUUAUGCAAAGAGCCUUGAACCCCACCAGCCAAAGUGCAUGUGGGUGAACAAGUUUCCAAUGAACCGUGGACUUACCAAUACAUUCAAUGUAUUGACCCUAGUGGUUGCAUGAUACGUCUCCAAUGUAUCUCUAAUUUAUGAAAUAUUCACGCCAUGUUUACAACAAUUUUAUAUGGUUUUGGUGCACUUUUAUAUUAUUUUUUUGGACUACAUAUAAAUCUAGUGCCCAGUGCUAGUUCCUGUUUUUCCAUACCAAAUGAAGUCCAAACGCGAUAAAUAUUUACGAAGAUUUUUUAUGGAAUAUGUGAUUUUUGGGAGGAAGAAUCAACACAAAACGGUACCCGAGGGCUCCACAAGGCAGGCCGCCACACCCUACCCCCUGGGCGCGUCGGGGUGCCUUGUGGGCAUCCCUUUGGUCGGUUGGAGCCCUUGUUGCGCAGCAAGAAAACCAAUUUUUGGUGAAAAAUCGUGUAAAAAGUUCAGCCCAAUCAGAGUUUCGGAUCUCCAGGAAUAUAAGAAACGACAAAAGGACUCCGAAAACAGUCACGAGAAACAGAAGACAACAGAGAGUUCCAAUCUAGGGGAGAGCUCCCUCUUUCCACGGAGGGCCAAGGACGAAGGAGGGGCCCCUUCCUCCUCUCCUCUUGUGGCUCCAGGAGGACGCCGGGGACAUCUUGAUGUAGGGUGGAACCCUAGUUCAUGAUCUUUUCACACCCGGAGGUGGGUAAAUGUGAAAAUCAAGAGAGAAACACAAGAAGAACACUUAAUUGAUCAAAAUCCAAUCACACAUGUGCUAAAUCCACAUACACAUAUAGGGAUAUAAAGGUCCAAAUCAAACACAAGAAGCCAAAAGAGGAACUAGUUCAUUCCAAUUCUUGGAGGAGUUGAGGUCUUGGUAUACAAGAGGAUCUUCCCUAGAAGGGGUCUUGAAUCCACUAGGGGAUCUUCUCACAUGGAGGCCUUGAUCUCCAUGGGAGAGGGAUAGUCGAUGAGAAAAACUAUAUCUGAUGUGAGCUAAACCUUUGCUUACCUUAGCUAGGAGGAGAAGGGGACCUAUAUAUAGUCUUGGACAGAAUAAUAGAGGAGGGGAGGGGUUACAUGGGCCUCUAGCCCGGUUGUGCACUCACAGGUGCCGUAUGUUUAGGUUGGGGGACGGAUGUCCGGGGCUUCAGGGGACGUUGGAUGUCCGGCCUAGGGCUGUUCCAGUUUCUAUAUGCUUCGGGUGUCCUUGGACUGGUUAUCCGGGUGGAGGUCGGAUGUCCGGGGCAGGGCCGGAUGUCAGGAUCCUGUAGCUUUUGCAGCACAGUUCUGCUGUUGUCCUAGGGGCGCCGAAUAUCUGGACUAGGGCCGGAUGUCCGGUCGCUAUAGCUCGUUGACACUUUCUCUUGUCGUGUUUCCUCGUAAGCAUUCGUGACCACUUUGUCUUCAUUCCGAGUGUCUCCGAGGUCAUGCUCUUGAUACCUAAGCACACACAACACUUCCCUUUGAUGUAGUAGCCAUGUUUCAUGUGGUUCAUAUGGUAGUUCAUUGAAGAGAGAUCUCACAUCGAUCUCGAUAGCUCUUGCACGUGCUCUUGUCAUCAGUCCACUUGGAACUUGGCGAGGUGACAGUGUGUACAUGGGGAUGACCGUGGGAUUCUUCGUAUUAUCUCCCCCUUGGGAAAUAUCCGCUCUCAGAUCGACAACCUCAUCACCAUGGAAGGGAGAUAGGUCCUUGACAUUGAAGAUGUCGCUCAUGUUGUACUUGUCACGUGGUAUGUCGACCUUGUAUGCAUUGUUGUUGUAGCGUGCUAACACCUUGAAUGGUCAAUCAGCGCGAGGUAGAAGUUUUGACUUGUGCUCGUUGGGGAAGCGUUCUUUGCGUAGGUGUAUCCACACAAGAUCUCCAGGGUUGAACACCAUGGGGUGCUUGUUGAUGUUGAGCUUGUGGGCAAGUCAUUGUACUUGGAGCUUGAUCGUGUGCCUUGUAUUUUCAUGCACCUUCUUGUGGUAACUUGCCCUUGCUCUCGUGUCCAUGUUAGUUCUUUCUUGUAGUGGUAGCCGGAGAAUAUCCAAUGGGGACAAUGGGUUGAAGCCAUAGAUUACCUCGAAGGGGGACUUUCCGGUUGUAGCGUGUCAUGCUCGAUUGCAGGCGUACUCGGCGAUAGGCAAGCACUCUUCCCACUUCUUGAUGUUUUUCUUGAUCAACACGCGGAGAAGUGUGGAUAGCGUCCGGUCUGUGACCUUUGUUUGGCCGUCGGUUUGUGGAUGAUAUGCCGAGGAGAAUAGUAGCUUGAUUCCAAGCUUGACGCAUAGUGUUUUCCGAAAGUAGCUUAGAAACUUAACGUCGCAGUCUCACAACAAUCGUCUUGGUCACUCCAUGCAAUCACAAGAUUUCUCUACAAAAAAGAUUUACAACAUGUGAAGCAUCGUCUAUCUUGUUGUAAUGAAUGAAAUGUGCCAUCUUAGAGAAACGUAGUAAUGUAUCGGUCCUAUUCAACUUUUAAGUAAUUAAAUACAAGAAAUUAUCUAUGGAAAAUGGUUCACAUUGAAGUCUAUCCAUGACUUCUUAAUUAAGCUGAAAAUGUGUCCGUGCUUACGUGUGUGCUUGUGUUGGUGUACAUGUACAACUUGGAAUGGUGCGUUUUUUUAUGUCCAUUAUGGUUAUGUAAUUUAUUUAUAUCAAAGAUUAUCCAGAUUAGCUGCAGACUGUAUGAUUUAACACAAACUGGUUACUGAAGUUCAGAAACUACCGUCCUAUUGAUCUGUUCCAGGUCAAGCAUCCUAAAGUGGCACAGUUUUUGGGUGGAAGGCUUUAUGAUUGUGUCUUCAAGUUCAACGAGGCCUGAAAAACUCUGAAGCCCCUGCAUGGCACCGCCACAUUGCAUUCAUUUUAAUCAUUGAUCAUUGAUGCGAUCCUACACUGAAUGUAUGCGUCCACGAUGAUAGCAAGUGGAAGAAAUUACAAUUCGCUUGUUGUAGUGUGAGGGAGAACAAUUUUUAUAGUAGAUGUGUCAAAACACCCCUUUCAGCGCUUCAGGUUAAUAAUAUAAGAGUAAAUUGAGGUGCAUGUUGGAAUUCCCUAUUUGCUGCAUAUUGCAGCAAACUGCGUCAGAGCGAUGCGAUGGGCUGGCCCAUUUGUGUAGAUUGCGUAGGUACUACACCAUCCAGUUCCGAUUCUUUCAUCGGUUUUCCGGUUUCUUUUGGUUUUUUGUUCCUAAACAUGACUAGAAAAUGAAUCUAUGAAAAACAUAAAACCAAUCCGUGCCUACCGUGCAUGGUGCGAAAUCCCAUCAAAACUCCCUAAUUGUGCCACUUGUCACCACCAAAGAAGGUGAGAGUGACUGGCUUGGAGUUGGGCGGAAUAGCAAGUAUUCUUUCAUUAAAAUGUACAAAUCAAUCUACUCAAGAACCGAUGACAACCCUUUAUUUAAAAAGAUAUGGAAUACUGAAAACAGACUAAGACACAAGAUUUUUUCCUGGCCUAUUCUGCAUGGCAGAAUCAACACAAGAAACCUUCUUAAGAGGAAAAAUAUGUUUCUGAAAUGUUACAACUAUGUGUUUUGGCUGUAAUAUGUUUCGGAGGAAAAAAUAUGUUUCUGGAUAGAUAAUAUUUGAUUCAUUUAUCUAUUAGUUGUAAUACUAGCCUUUAUUGGUUGUAACCCCAUCAACCAUUGUGACAUUCUUUUUUGCUUUCUUAUUAAUGAAAAAUGACACAUAGUAGGGCUCUUUGUCUUACUGUAUUAUGGUAAAAAAACGUGUGUUUGCAAUGAAGCCACUGAGGAGACUUCGAGGCAUUUGUUUUGGGAUUGUGAUUUCUCACAAGACUGUUGGAACAACCUGUUUCCAUCAAGAAAUCGAGGGAUCUCCUGCUUUGAUGACAUUGUGCUCACCCAAUAUCUACUGCCAAAGCAAAUAGCGUUGGAUAUCAUCAUUCAAGGAUGUUGGCAGUUUUGGACACAAAGAAAUGAAAAAUUCUAUAGAAAAGAAGUGCCAAGUGUCAACUACUGGAAAUAUAGGUUGAAAGAAGAUCUUCUUCUUUUACAAUAAAGAACCAAAACAAAGAACCAUCCCAUUCUUCAAGACUGGAUCACUGCACAUCUGUGAUAUUUGCAAUACUACAUUUUUACCAGCCAUAGAGUCUGUUCCUUAAAAAAGGAAUCGGAUAAAUGUAGCCUUUUCUUUUUCUUAGAUUUAUAGAUUUUCUAUUUUGUAAAUAUCUCUUUAUUAAUGAAAAAUUACCGUAGAACAGUUGUUCUACUGUUGGUGCUUCAAAAAAAAGAAGGUGGGAGUGACCUUUGCAAGAGUCACCCCUUUGCUAGUGAUUUUGGGUCUUCCCUCGUAGACGCCAACAGGCGUCAAAUGAAAGCCUCAUGUAACCCCCUUUCCUGAUAGCCCCUUUACUGUAUUGAGGAACUCGAGCCAACCCAAUGGUCUAGUAACAACUAGCCUCAAGAACUCAAAGCAAAAAACCGACCCCAUGUCUCCUUGGGUAAUAGUCGUUCGAUCUAUUUAAAUACCACAUUUGUAUUGAAGCAAGAAUUACGACAACAACAUUUGCUUGACAAGUUGUGAAGCAACCUGUGGUUGGACGGUUAAGAGGACCUCAGCCCACCAGAGUUCAAGUCCUGGAUUUAUUUCAGGCUUCCGAUUGAUGUUCGUUCAGUGAGAUGAGACGUUUUUGUCGACUGCGAGGCGCCUAUGGUAACUUCGUAAAAUCUCAAGAUGAUACGCCGCCCAGUCUCUCGAUGAUGCUCAUAGGGAUAGGGUGUGCGUGCGUUUAUAGGGGUGAGUGUAUGCUCAUGUAUGUGAGCGACUUCGAUUGUACCAUAUUAAAAAUCAUUUUCUUGACAAGUAAAAAAGGCUAUCCAACUCGCCAUCGAAUUCAUAUGGCGCCACAUCAACUUGUGGCUAAUCAGCAGAUGAUUGCACAAAUUGCUCGCGGUUCCUUGAAUGAUGUGUUGCUGAUGAUUUUCCGGUAGUCGAAGAUUUACAAUUGGAGAAUUUGAUCAUGAAAUGGUUGGGCGUCAAUUCUCUGUCUUCUUCAGCCGCUACUUAGGCCUCUGUGCUUGUACACCCGCGGCUGAGCAUGAGCAUGCAUGCGCGAAGGACUCUUGAUGUAGCGUUAGUAGUCCUUGAUAUUAAAAAGAAAUCAUUAUGAUGCGUUUGGUUGAGUUUGAUAGGGAGAUUACAGUUUAGGUCGAUUCAAUGGAUUAGAUAGGCAGGCCUGAAAAUCGUUUUGCCUGUCAAACUACCGUGUCAUGUAUUCAUGUUGUGCCUCUUGUCAUUCCUUUUCUUUAUGUCACCCGCUAUAUCAUUCCUAAAACCUAUUGGUGUUGUCAUAUGUAGAGAUGCUAAUGAUAUCAUAUUGUUCUUAAAAGAUGAUAAAUAUGUUAGUAAUUUCAAGCAACACGUUUGAAACAAUGGCUCGGGUGAAGACCGAUUUGGAAAAAAGUGAGAUGCUUUUGAUCGAAGAUGACUAUGAUUUCCACUAUUUUUACUCGUCAAAUGGCGUACUUUGCUGGAUCAUUCUCGGGCUCUUGUCCAUCUUGCCCUAACGAUGAAUGAUUCUAUCCUUCAAUUGUGGACCUCUUGGCAACUAUCCAUCCCGCCAAAGCUUCGCAAGGGCCAAGUCGGUGGUGAUUUCCUUGCUACAAUGCAUUUGGCUUGAGAGGAGCCGGCAUGUCUUCAAGCACACCUCUUUGCUCCCUUUUGUGGUAGUCGAUAGAGUAAUUGAUCAUUGUCGUGAAUGGCGAACGGUAGGAAACAAUAGUUUAAGAAGAGUAGUACCAUAAGUCUCUUGUUGUAGACUGCUCGGGCUUCCACCUUUGUUGGCACCAUGGGGCUACUCAUCUAAAUCAUAGAUGCUUUCUGUCAUAAUAUAUAGGCACACAGAUCUCCUCGUGUUCUAAAAGAAUCAAUAAUCAAAGACCACUUACAAUUUAAAAGACAUCUUCUCUUUUAUACAUAAGAUGAGAAACUACACAAGAUUGGCUUGCUCGCCUGACUUCUCAACCUUACAGACCUUGCUCCUAUUACGCGAGCAUAAGGAACAUUUUUUAUUUAACCACAUCACAUUUCAACAAAGAUGCUUAGUUAAAACACAAACACAUAUCUAGUUGUUGUUUUCAUAGUUCCAACCAUUGCUACCUCUUGGCUCUUGCACAUAUCCAUAUCAGGGAUAGCCACCGCCACCAGAUCCUCCACCGUAACCUCCACCAUACCCGCCACCACCACCAUAUCCUCCACCUCCACCAUAUCCACCGCCACCACCAUAUCCCCCACCAAAGCCGCUGCCAAAUCCACCAUUUCCACCGCCAUUGCCAUACCCGCCACCAUAUCCAGGUCCAUAGCCUCCACCGCCGUAACCACGCCCAUAACCGCCACCGUGCCAAGAAUUGCCGUAUCCUCCACCAUACCCACCAACAUUGUUUCCAUAACCUCCAUUGCCAUAACCUCCACCAUUGUUCCCGUAUCCACCGUUUCCAUAACCUUCACCACUUUUUCCAUAUCCCCCACCGUUACCGUAUCCACCACCGCUUCCAUACCCUCCACCAUUUCCGUAUUCUCCAUCAUGCUUGUUUCCACCUCCCCAUUUCUCUUCCUUAGGCAGGCCCGACCCUCCUGCAGGUUUCACAUUCUUCUCCUUGGACUCU
Molecule: long non-coding RNA, 70541 nt
Filed under: Triticum aestivum (bread wheat)
Lineage: Eukaryota; Viridiplantae; Streptophyta; Magnoliopsida; Poales; Poaceae
Description: long non-coding RNA (TAES_LNC016216)
Source: RNAcentral